GCUCCUUGUGUGCAUCCAUGUAUGUCAAAUAUGUCUGGUUACCUCAGAAAUCAGUCUUUUUGGAAACUUGAUCUGCAGUGUGAUAUCAAGGGAGUAUGAGACAGAGAAAGUUAAUAAUACUUUUCUCGGAACUAGCAGGGAUUUGUGACACACUUUCCCCAGGAUGUAAAGUUUUAGUUAUUCCAGUGGAGUCUGUGCUAUGGACAUCACAAUUAUAAUCAUGUGGAUCAUAUGUGGCCUCUGAGAAAGCAUAAUUAAAUAUUUGUUUUCAAGAUUCUACAAAAUAUGCUAUGCUCUGUCUGUGUAAAAAUCUUUAUAAUGCUAUUAAGACUAUCAAGAAAAUUAUAAUUUUCUGUUCAUAAUUCCUAUUAGUUUUAUUGGUGUUGAGACCAGCAUCAUUUGGUAGGUUACUGACCUUUGUAGGUAUAUAUUUAAAAUAUCCUUAGCUGCUAUUCUUCAGUGCAUAAAUAUUGCACAUAGAGUGCCAGAGUUUAUCACAGGAAUUGCUUUCUUAGUGCUUUGACCUCAGUCAUGUACAAUGAAAUCAAACUUUGCUUUUGCUUUCAUUUCUCAUGCAAUAAUUUAUUUUUAAACUACAAUUCAGCUUUCUGGAUGGGUGAUAAAUUUUCCAGUAAGGUUUCUUAUACACAGGUGCAAUAGAAGUAUGUUAUGUUACUUCUGCUUUCCGAGUGGUUUUGUUCUGACCAUACUGACAUCCCUCAGUAUUCUAUUUCACUUCUGGUUGUGACUAUAUCUUAGAAAUAUCUGUUUUGUUAUGUUGUUAUCAGUAAUAGCAAUUAUGAGCAGCAUGUAACUGUAAUUUUUGUAAUUAAUGCAUAUGGCUAUAAGCAGGGCAGAAGAUGGAGUCAGGUGUUGGAUAGCUGCCCUCCUGUACCCUCUAACCUCUAAGUGGACAUGUUCCUAAAUGCUAUACUCUAAAUAAUUUAAAUCUUGUACUUUGUAUUACUUUGGUACCUCCACAGUGAUUUCAGUGGCUUUGAAAUAAUAAUGACCUAUGUAUUAUUUUAGGCUCUCUCAUUUUAUUUUUGUUUUAAUUUAUUUGGUUUUGAGUGGAACUCUCUCCCAAGUCCCAGGACAAGACAUAGGCUUUGGUGAUGCCUCCAAAUCAAAAUGUCACGUUUGCCCUAACGUUGGCUUUUGAGUUGUAAAAAAGUUACAUUUUAUUAUUUAUUCAUGCAGAACUUGUAAGCACAUCUGUUCAAAUAGAGGAAUUUUUUUUUUGACUGGCAUACUGUACAGCUUUUCACUUACCCGUAGUGGUAGCAGAUGGAGGGAAGGGCUUUGGUGAUGAGCAGCAGCUGUGGCAUUGCAGGUGGUGGCUCUGCACAGCUGCAGUGUGAUGGUGGCACCCUGGGAGUUCCUUGGUGGAGCCUCUUAGGUGGAACUCCCAAACCCUUCUUCAUUGUCAGGUCUGACAAUGAGGGCGCCGAUGGUUUUGCAGUACCCCUCUGUGCUGGUGGCAGUCUUGCAGUAAUGAAGUAUCAUGCUGGCACCUUCUCCUCAAAAGCCCUUUGGACCCUAUAAAUGGUUACUUGCUUGACCCGGCAUCUGCAAACUUUCUGGUCUUCUCCUAAGUCACAUAUGUCCCCUCCAGUCUUGCUGUAGAUCAUGAAGACAGGCCUGCCUGGUCAGCUAGUGAGUUGUCCCCCUAGCCUCCAGCAACAUGAAGUUUGUUCUGACCAAACCAAACAAAAUGUGUCUCUGAAAAACCUUCAGCAAAAGGUUCCCCACUGCUUUCCUGAGAAUUGCAGUUGGUGCAUUUCAUGAUCCUGUCUCUGGAACAUCAUGCAAGUUGGCAGCAAUUUUCUUACUUUUCAGUGGACUUGAGAAAGAUAGUCAUCUUCCUCCUCCAGUCAGGCUUUUACAGCUGUGAGGGCUGUUACCACCCAUCCAUGGGUGUUAAAAAACCUCCAGCAAACAAAACCCCCCAAUUUCGUUCAUAUGAAUUAUGUUUCCUUAAAUCUGUUGGACUUGUUCAUUUUCUCUGACUGCUUCUAAAAUAUGGUCUCAAGGAGUAAGCCUACUCCUUGAGAUCUCCCAAGUGCUGAGGGAAGAGGGGUAAUUACAUAAACAGUCUUAUUAUUAAGUCUUUCAAGAACUGUAUUUGCUGGUUUUGCAACAAUAUUGGAAAUGAGUUUGUAGAGGAAAUACUGGAUACAUUGCUAAGAGCAUUUGGAAAUGUUUAAAUGUUUGCUUACCUUGUGGCAGACAAAGCAGUUCAUGAUUUGUUGCAUUUGGGGAUAUUGACAGGGACUGUACUGUUUAAUUGCAAUAUGGACUGUUUGAAAAGUGCUGUUAAAUAAAGGGACUUCAGUUUUAAGUAAAAAAACCCCAAACAAAUCCCAGUGAAAAAAGAUCCUAAUGGUGAAACAAAGAGAAAAAGAAGAUCAAAGCCAAACAGAAAAAAAUAAUACAACCAUAUUCUGUAUUCAAAUUAUAUUUACCAUGUUCUGGCUAUUAAACAGACUACCACAUGGUAGAAAUCAGUGCCAGUUGGUAAUAGGAAACAAGAUUAUUAUGGACAUGUCAAUUGUGUUGGCUUAUUCCAGCUUUGAAAAAAUGUUUUUAGAAUACUUGCUGAAGUGAGGUCCCCAGGCCUUAGAGGGAUGACAUGUUGAAUUAAGAAAUGUGUGCAUGCUUUUGCUCAAUGAUUUUAAUGGGGAUCCCUACCAGACUGCACCAAUGUAUGCUCCUGAAAUGUCCCAGCUGAGCAGGCUGCCUUUCAACACAGAAGUACAUACAUUCAUUGCUCUCUCAUUAGUAACAAAAUAGCAAUACAGCUCAAUAAGAAGAAAAUUAGUAUUAAAAAUAAAAAUAACUUGAGGAAUGUUAAACCAGGUAUUUCUUUCUGGUCAGUGUUACAUAUAAGCUCUGUUCUUGCAUUUCUUGCUUGUGUGCAGUUCUUAAAUGGGAAAGAAACUGUUGAAAGGAGCCACUUAUUAGUUUGUGCUGGUUAACAUCCAAGCAGGGUAUUCUGUUUCUCCCUGGAACUGCCCUUGUCUUUACCUGCAGCACUUUGUCACUACAAGCAUUAUGCCUUCCCCUCUGCUGUUUGUUCAAAGAUCCCUUUGUCAUGCUGUGUUCAAACCUUCUAUUUUCCUGUGAUGGAAAAAAAUAUUAAUCUCAUUUCAGAGUUAUACACAGACUGUCCCCAAACAAUGUCUAAAUAAAUUAAUUUUCAUAUGAAAGUUCUGCUUUAGUUUAUUUAAGCAGUAUGUGCCAUGUUAGUGGUACCCCAUAUUUCCCAGCUGCUGAACCAUUUCUCAUUUGUGUUCUUGCCAGCAGCCAAAUCCAGAAUGUCGUGUUGAAGAUACUUGCUCAGUUUAGUGAAGUUGUAUGGGCAAUGGCAUAGGAAGAUUUUUUUUUUUUUUUUUUUUUUUUUUUUUUUUUUUUUUUUUUUUUGUGGGUGACCUGCUCUCUGGAUCUCGUGAUUAUAGGAGUUACUCCUUACUGUUAGAGGAGUUCAUGUCUCUCAGAUCUGGUGUUCCUUUCUCCUUGCCAUACUUACAUGGCUCCAGUGUGCUGUUAACUCAGUCUUUUAAAUCAUAGAUUGGUUGGGGUUGGAAGGGACCCUAAAGAUCAUCUAUUUCCAAUCCUCCUGCCAUAGGCAGGGACUCCUGCUAGAACAGGUUGCUUUAAAGCCCCAUCCAACCUGGUCUUGAACACUCCAAAGGAUGGGGCAAUUUCUCUGGGCAACCUUUUCCAGUGUCUUACCACUCUCACAGUGCAGGAUUUCUUCCUGCUGCCUAAUCUAACUCCUAUUCUCAUUCAGGCCAUUCCCCCUUGUCCUAUCACUACAUGCCCUUGUAAAAAUGUUGCUACUGAACUCAAUGUCUCACACGUGCAAAGGAAAGCAGAAAGUGUAUCUCUGAAACCCUUUGGUUGUCUUAAUUUUCUGUUGCUGACUUAUAGGUAGGGCUGCCUUAUGCCGCUGCGUGGGCGAUUCACUCUGUAUAGCGCAGAAAAAUUGGAGGACAGCUGGGAAAAUCCAAGGUGUGUUAGAAUCUGAUUUUAGAUGACACAAAGCUGCAGUCCAGCAAGUUGAUCAAAACACAUGUUAAGGCAUUUAAGCUGAACACAUUAAGGUAACAGCUUGCUUGGUUUACAGUGGGAUGCAGGUUUGGCGAUGCAUGUUGAAGCGCACCUCCCCUCCUCUGUGAGGAUACCCAGUGCCACUGCACCUCUCCCUGCAGCUCGCCGUGUGCACAGCCCAUGCCAGCUUUCAGUAGGGCUACUUGUUUUUGUUUUCAUCAGCUGUAAAGACUUAUUGAUUGAGAUAAUGGAGAUGACUGUUCUUUUAAGACUACUUGGAGGUCAAGGGUGCAUUUAACAGCACAAAGCCAUGAUAGGAAAAAUGAGGCAAAGAGUAGUAUUUUAAACAUUGCAGACUUGGCCUUGGCAGCAGCUUGCCACUCCAUGUGACCUGGAGAAUUUGGACUCCAAAGAACUGAAACAAUGUGCCUGCAUCUAGGACACAGUUCAUUUGUUUGAGCAUUUACCUUUGUUUCACAACAAAUGAUUGGCCUGCCUUGUCCUGCUAAAAGUAAAUUAGAUUUUGAAAUGGGAAGUGUCGUCUGUAGUCUGCAGACUGCAGUGUCCAAGUCAUGUGUUACUGAGAAGUUUUUAAUUUUUUGGUGGAAAACAGUACAGGUAGUUGUCUUUGCUAUGAUCUGUAUGUGUUCGUGGGCAUAUCAAACACAAAUAUUGACAUGCUUGAGAAUUUACAGAAGAAUAAAAUAAGUGAGGAUAAAUCCUUCUUGUCAUGUGCAAAUUAUGUCUACAUCAAAUUUCAAGUUGUCAGCAUUGAUGGAGGUGAUGUGUCAUGGCUGUUUUGGCAUAGAAGAGUUUGCUGUAGGAGUUCAUUUUCCUCUGCAAGGUAAAAAAACCCAAACAAAUCAAAUAUAUAGCUCUCCCUUUCACCACCCCCACCUACUGCUGUCAGCUCUGAGCUUUGUAGGGAUCUGCAGGGGGUUGGAGAAUGAUUCUGUUUUAAAAACAAAAAGCUCAAUCAAAGGAAAAUAUUUUGUUUAAAGAGACCUUUGGCAUCCCCCUCUGACUGUGACACCGAAUUUGUGCAGAUAAAAACAACUGCUUAGAUUUACAUUUUGAUUGUGCUUCUGCUUUCAUGUGUGCCGGGCUGUCCCACUUCAGGUGAAAUUUAUCCAUUUCUUUAAAUAUUUAGCAGUCUAGCGUUGAUGUUAAUGAAAGUCUAGCACUGCUAUUUUGAGCAUUGCAACAAUGAUAGUAAUUUUCAGUGUCAGAUUACUGCUUCUCGGAGGAAAAGGGAGAUGGGAGGAGGGAAGAGCAGAAAAAAAAAAAAAAUUGUUUCGGCUCUAAUAGAGUUUGUCAUCAGCCUGGCUGUGCCAGACAGAUGGAUCAUGAAUACUGUCUAGACGCUCUCUGCCUGAGUGGAGCUGUGGUCUCUAAGGACAAGCAGUGAGACGCCGGCUUAAGUGACUGGGGAAAGUCAGGACGUGCUCGCCGCUCAGCAGAUAGCGAGCCGGGCUGGUCCUGCCCGCCGGGGCUCCGAGCCGCUCAAUACCGAGCUCGGCUGAAACUUGGCUGUUCCGGGGCUUUGGGGGGGAAAGGAGAGGGAUGCUGUUCCGGCUGUAUUGAUUUCAGCUGCAUCUGCCCAGGGACUGCGGGGUGAUUUAGCUGGGAGUACAGAUCUCGGGAGGGGGUGCAUUGGGAGAGUCAUCAUCUGGCCAUAAAGCACACGCUUUAAAAGGCUGCGUGGUCACCUGUAUUUAUCAACUGCUUUAGUCACAGUGUACACUGGAAAACGCUUACUUACUUGCUUAUGUUUGCUUUAUUUGGCCACUUGUUCAGAAGGAUUCAUCUGUUCCCCUAGCCGGGGCUCCCAGUGUCCCCGGCUGUUACGAGGACGAGGUUUCAUGAGGCUGCCUUUGGAAAGGAGAAGCUGUGGGAACCAGGUGAGACCCACAGCCUGGGGCACAUCUUGUGCUAUCUAGUGGUCUCUCAUGCUGUUACUUUUCCCUUCUCUGUCACCAAGCACAAUUAAUCAUAAGGAAAUUUCUAAGGUAGAUGGAGCGAUAAAUAUUUUUUGACCAGCACAGUUUUAACAAAAACUCAAUUUGUUACAUAUGCUAACUUAUCUAAAAAGCAGGAGGUUCUCUUGGGUUCAGAUUGCAGAAUAAAUCAUAGCACUUUUGAUUUUAGUUCUGUGUGUAUGUCACUAAAUACUAGAUAGCUAUUUUAAUUUAGAAAAUCCAAUUGGUUUUCAGCCUGUAGUGCAGUCCUCUUUCUUGAAGUGGUAUAAUCAGGUUCUAUGCUUUGUUCUGAAAUAAUUUCCUCCUUGCAUAUUUUUAAAGCACAUCAUGGAACAUUAGCAAUUAAUAUUGAAAAUUUGAAAAAGAGGAAAGCAUUAAAGUGACUUUUGUAUAUUAUUUUCUUAAAACUUUGUAUGUAUUUUAAGAAAUAUUGUAUUCCCUAGCUUCUAAUAAAUGAAAUAGAAUCCUGGUCCCAUGAAUGCUCUAACAAAACUGCAGUGAAAUUAGAGUUUACCUAUUCUUCCUCUAAGGCCUUACACUACGAGUGAUUUGGACAAGCCAGACACACACAUAUGUGGCCAAUAACAGCCAUGAAAUGUGCUGGUACAAAAUCAGGUAUUUGCAUCUGCUUACAAAGAGGGCUGAACUGGGCUCCUGGUAAGGAACUGCCAUUUCACAAAGUUUAUAGCUGAACAUUAAUCACAUAUUUAUGGUUAAAGAGAGAAAGAAAAACUCACAAUACUGUGCAGAUGAAACUGUGGGGAUCUCACUAGCUUUGAAGUGCUAUUUUGUUCAUUCUAAAAAUAUGUAAAUCAAUUGUAUCACACUUAAUCAAGAUUUAGAAAAAAAUGUUCUUUAAAGUUGUUUGUAUUGUGCUCUUCAUGCACAUUUCAUUCAUCCUUCCUUCAAUUUCUGUCAACUUCCAGGAAACUUCAUCUAUUACUAAAUGUUGCUUCUCAGAACAAUCAUGUUGAGUGUGAUUUCUCCUGUCCCCUUUUUUGGCUACUGAUUUCUUACAAAUGCAGAUUGUAAGCUCUCAAAGUGUACUAUGUAAUAAAGUCUUCAUUCAAAGACCGAUUUUCAUGUAUCUUAGAAAGUGAUUAAGCUUCAGGUUGGAAAUCUCAGUACUGCCAGGCACGAUGGGACUUUUAUCUUACAGAUACACUUGGUUUUUCAAGACACCAGAGCUCCUCCUGGACCUGUGUGAGGCUGGGAAAUGACCUCCCACUCGCGCUGAGGGCAUCCUUUUUACUCACUGGUUCUCCACCAGAAGUGCAUAGUAGCAUAAACUUUUUAUCAAUGCGGGUGUAAAACUCAAGUAUGAAAGCCACAGUGCAGGCUCAUACCACAGGCAAGAUCCUCCCCCUGGAAAGAGAAUAAACUGUGAGACAAUUAUUUUCACAUAUUAUUUCACGUACACCUAGUAGGUGCUUGAACACGACAUCAGAAAUCAUUUAGGUUGUAACUGAGCAACUUUUGCUGCUUUUAUUUUCAGUCCACAUUACUGAGUAUUGUCCAUUGCUGCCCUUCCCUGCUAUAUUUUCAUUUGCAGGGAUCACACACUGUACUGUGCACUAGACAGCUAGAUUUACCUAGCUAAACCUCUGUAAGUUUUAGAUACACUUCUGAAAUCUUGCUGUGUGAAUUUUACAGGCACAGCUUUCCCCACCAUUCAUUCAAGUCACGUUGGUUAUUGGUGGUAAAUACUCCUUAGGAGGAGCACUGCACUUGUACUGUUUACACUUGGCUACUACAAGCCUGGAGGAGCCAUUGGGAACUAUUUCUUCUAUACAGCAUUGGCAGCUGUUCAGGUGUUUUAGGCAGAAUGAAGAUAACUUAUAUUUUCUUGCAGCUUAAAGUGUUUUGUGAAGGUUUAUUUAAAAAUAAUGUUUAAAAAAAUCCUCACAAGAAAGGGACAUGAAGUCAGACUAGAUCACCUUCCAUCUCUAAGAAUGUUGCAGACUGUGAUGUUUGAUUGCUUUUCAUUCUGCAGAUGUGCAUCUGACCAUUUAUCUCCAGAAACUCAUCAUCUUCCUGAUGAAAUGAACCACCUUAAUUUUUCUUAAGCAGGCUCAUCUACUUCUGCUGUAAAGUAACAACUUUAGAGAUCAAGGUGAAUUGGGAGUCUGCUUGUAAGUUCUGGUAUGAAUACAUGCACACUGAAAUAUUUCUGUCUGAAAUUUCUAUGUAAAUUAACAUACAGCUCAUUAACAUGAGCUCAUGCUCAAAGAAAUCCAUGUUUUUCAGUGAUCUCUACAGUGGUUUGUAUUGUGAGUGAAAUUAUGUUUUUCCAUAUCAUGUAGUGUUUAACCAAAGCAUGUUGCUCUGGUCAUUAGUGUGUAGCUAUUUUUCUCAGACUGGAAAGCCUGAGAAACCCUUAUGCUCUCCACAGUUUUGCAAGUGCUUGAAAGUGGCACAAGCCACCAUUGCCUCUUGUGGCUGCUCCCUCACUUGUUCCUGUGCAAGUGUUUGUGCAGGCACACAGGAGUUGGGUUGGAGGCUGGUCUGGUUCUGACGAGCUCUGAGAAGCUUCCACUUUGUUCUGGCUGGUGUCAUGUCCUUGGUUCUGUUCUCAGCUUAGCUGUGCAGGCUCUUGUGCCUGCACAAAAGCAGAGGGAGGUAGGAGUGGCUCUGUUCAGUGGGAGCUUAUCCUUGACUGGUUUAAGGUUUCUGUGCCUUAGUCCCUGCCCUUCUAAAGUAUAUGCAAAUAGACCUUUUCCUGAAUACACAAGAGUUUGGGAAUAAAGAAACAAUAGUUGCUUUCCCACUUUUCUGUAAUUCUGAAAAUCUCAUUGUUUGUUACUUUUUUGUAAUAGAAAAAUGAAACAGAAGAGUGAAGCAUCACACUGGGUCUCUCAGGGCUAUCCAUGGGCUUGGGCUCAUUUGGACUGAACUCAGGCUAGUACAAUGUAAUAAUACCAUUUUGAUAACCAAGUCCAGCUUGGCUUAAGUCAUGGGGCUUUAUUGGAAUGAUGCUAGCUAGUUAAAUUACUACAUAGGAACAGCUCUCCUGGGUCAGAUCAAAGCUAGCUCACCAUCAAAUCUAGCACUAGUCAGUUGCAGUUGCUAAAGUGAAAGAGUAAAAGCAAAUUAGAUAAACACUUAUGCUUUUCCCAGUAAACCUGAUUCCUUGGAGAAAUGCUGCACUGCUUUGCAUGAAGAGCAUGGGGUUUAUGUCCUCUGGAGAGAAUUUAGCAUUUAGAAAGGGCAGAAAUUGGGGCAAAGAGAAAACGCCUCAUUUCUGAAGUGUGAGAAUAAGCGAAGAUCCACCAACCCUUCCCUAACCAGUAGAUGUGUGGGCACCGUUGGCUUCUUCUGUAUGCAGCACAUACUUUUCAUGUUAAGACAUUCUGAAUGUAGGACACGAGCUAGAAGGUGCUGAAUUCAUGUCAGCUGGAAAGACUAUUUGUCUGGGUCUUUUCACUUAUUUUGUGAGAAACAUGGACUUCUAGUUUCUCUUAAGUUUACUGGUUUUUCCUGAGUGAUGUUGUGGGGUUUUUAGUCAGGAUUUGUGGACUGUGUGACAGCUUUAUACUUAAUGGUGAACCAAGUUCAUCUGGCAGGCUUCAAUUUAUUUUAGCUGUUUAAGAAAACAAAUGCACUCACAAAUCCUACUACACGUAGAAAACACAGUUGUCACCUGUGACUGUGUAGCGCACAGGCAUCAGAUACCGUGGGUGUGCACAUGCAUCUUAGAGCAGACUUGGGCUUAUUUUUGUUUUCUAUACAUGCAUGUUGUGUGCAAACCUAAGGAGUGAAUACAGACUGGUUAGAGUUAAGAAAAAUACCAGCAGCAUAGAAAUAUCUAUAAUCAGCUUCUACGAAAACACAAAUUGGUAUUCCUACCUUUGUUUAAAAACAACUGUUCUUUUAAUUACAGGUUAAGGCUUAAAAUAAUGACUAAAAGAGAAUUUCACAUUUUAUUUAGACCAUAAAUUAGACAGUGGAACCAAUUCUUUAUACUGAGUUACUGUUAGGAGCUAACAGAAAACAGAUCAGGACAGUGAGUUGUUAAAUCAAUUGUGUUUUGUGUGCGUUAGAUGACUUUUCUAACAUAACAAUGCAGUCUAAGGUGUUAGAGAUGUAUUGAACACAGCAUUAUUCAACCAUAUAUGAUAAGAUCUCAGGUCUACUUAUCUUUCCAGGAGUAUUGCUACACUGAUAGCUUCUUCCUUCCUUCUCAGUUUCCUCCUUCUCUUUCCUUCUGUUCAGUAUCACUGUCUGAUAGUUUUAUGAAAGCAAGACAACAUGAGGGAUCUGGGAGGGGGUAGAGAUAAUAGUGAUGCAUUAUGUGAAUACUGAGUCUGACACCUAGUAGCACCUUGAUAGAAAUAGAAAGCUGUGAUCACAGUAUUAAAAUAUGCUAACAAGCUGAAGGAGCUAAUGGGCUUAAUUUUUACAGUGCAGAUGUUAAUCCAGCACUUGUGCUGAAUGCAAUAACAAAUGUGUGGGGGCUGAUGGUGAUGUUACUGUGUUCUUGGCAGUACAGUCCUCCAAAACAAUCUUCCUUUCUUUGAUAUUUUACUAAGAGUUAGAAUGUUCUUUUUUUGUGGUCUAAGAUAACAAAUGUAUAAAGAAAUUGGCAUGACUAAGGCUGGUUGGGCUAGGGCCGUCUUUAUUCAGAUAGGGGGUUCUGUAAGAAUUGGUGUACCCCUGUGUUUGGUGAUGGGGAUUGCUGUUCCAGUUCUUAUAUACUUCAUGUUCCACAGCUCCUACUAAAUUUCAGAUAGUUUUAUUUUUACUGGUUUCAAAACCGAGCUCAUCUGGCCAGAAUAAACCAUUUGCUUUGAGAAGCUGUAGAGCUACAGUCUGAUAUAAAGCUCAACUCCCAGUCUUUCCUAGAGAAGAGUCAAUAGUCUCCUGGAGAACAGUCACAGUGGCCUGUAGUCCACCCCAGUGCCUCAGCCUCACCACCCACCUCAUGGCAUUUCAUUGUGUUCAGUGCUUUGCAGCUAAUGAGAAUAAUACUGUUAUCCUGUGGAAUCUUUCAGCUCUUUCAAUAGGAAAUGAUCUUGACUUGCUUCCAGCACAUUUGGAUAUUCCUGUAGAAAUGACCUUCUGUACCAGUCAAAGAUUUUUUUAGACAUUGAUGGGGAUUAUUAUGUUGCAAACCUCUCGUUUUUCUCUUUUUUUCCUCUCCCUAACAAAAGUACUGGCUUGUUUAAUUACCAGCAGGAAAGGUGCACGUGGCUUUUGUUUGUAAUAAGGUGCAUCUCUCACUGUGAAUACCUGUCACUUUUGAUAGGCUAUUACAAUGUAAGUGAUCAGUCAACUGGCCCUGAGUAUUCAGGGCUGCUGGUGCUCCUCCAGCAAAUAAAUUUGUUGCAUAUAGAAUGCAGGUUUCAAACCAUGUCCCCUUUUGACAAGCAUCUAAGAUAAUGUGCAAGGAAAAUAAAUUUCACUGAUGUUAGAAAACUGAAGGAAGGACUGAAAUGAUAUGAGGAAUGGAAGACUUGUCAGUUAGUGAAUAGGGCUUGCCACCAGUUCCAGGUUUGCUUGACAUCUCUGCUACCAACUUCCUGGGCAACACUGAUGAAAUAAUUCUUUGUUUUCUUUCUGAAUUUCCUUAUUUAAAAAGGGGAGAUAAUGAUGUUCAUCUACUUUGGAGAAGUAAUAAAAGAAGAUUAAAUUUUUAUGUGGUUGAAAAACAGGAAAAGGGAUGUUAAGCUGUAAUAGUCUCAGAAAAUGGGUAUUAUGUACUGGAAAAAAGUGCAAUUAUAAGGUGACAGAGAGAAUGAAAAAAAAUUGGAAGUAUGUGUUUUGUGUUGUGCAUUAACAUUGUCACAUACUGUCCAUUAUUAAUACAUGUAUAUUUAAUUUUUCACUUGUAUGGCAACAAGGAAAUGGAUAUGCUAGAUAGUUUCUAAGUAGGUACAUAAAAAGUGGGUACAUAAUUUGUAUUAAAAUGUGAGUAGAAACAAAAGUAGAGGAGAGAGUUUCAUCAGUCAACUGUAAUUCCACAACUGAAGCAGAAUAUCCUAAAAUAUGGUAAAUUGUAACGCAAUAUAAUGGUGUUUGGUGGUGUGUUGGAGAAGUUUGAAAAAGAACUUUGGAAGAAUUUAAUCAAAUGAGGUCAGCAGUCAACAGAAUGAUGAAUGAAAUUCAAUCUUGAUUAAUGCAAGUAAUUCAUACUGGAGGGCAAAGUAUUAUACAUUUUAUUAGGUCCUAAUUAAUUGUGUAAUUUAAGGAAAAGGACCACUAAAAAGCAUCACUAUGAAAGGCUGAAUGCAGAUCUCUUUAGAGAAAAGAGUUGUGGUCAGAUAAAGUAUUUUGAGUCAAUAAAAAUAGGAUGUGAAAUGUUAUGAUGCUGCUACAUAAAUCAACAUUUAACCUUUAUUUAGAAUGCUGUGUUGCUGCAGCACAGAAACAAACUGUGGAUGUAGAAAACACAGGAGAAAAAGCAGAAGGAAACCAUGAACAGACCUGGAUAUGUAUAGAGCACAAAUAUUUUGGAAUAAUUUGCUUUUGAGUUUAGGUAAAGGGUGCGGAAAUAAAAAGGUACAGAGAACUAUGGGUGUGGAACAGAGGUGCUCAGGCACUUAUGUGUGGUAAGAUUAGAAGAUCAUUCAGUACAGUUCAAAGUUGAUACAAAAGAAAUAUUUUCACAGUCUUUAUGCUGUAUACCUCAUUACCCUGCAAUGCUUUUGAAGCCAAGAUUUAGCAAUACUUAAAGAAAGGAAGCCUCUCAACACUGAGUCCACUCGUGUAUAACUAUCCAGGGGGUAGUUGUUAAGAAAUGUAUAUGGCUGAAGUUUCAGGUAUUCAGUUAAUUUCUAGCUACAAGAUCAUGUUGAGAGCUUGGGAGAAUGUUUUCUCAUUUUUUUGAGAACUGAACAUCCUUAUCCAGGAAGUCUCUGUGUGUGGGUUCCUAAAUUUGGGGUGAAACUGAAGUCCAUAAUUAGUAGUUUGUAAUGCUCCUUAGGGCAGCUAUGAUCAAAAUUCUUACGUGCAGUUUCCCUGACUUAAGUAAUUACUGAUAUUGUGUGUAGCAACCCUCUGUCAUACCUUACAACACAGAAAUCUCUAUGUCUUGUGUAUCUAUCUUUCAUAGAAGGUGGUUAUCUAGUGAGGCUGGUGCACUGAGUGGCUCAUCAAGCAGAAAACUGUGGUAUCUCUGCUGGCCUGUGCUGGAUUCCUACUGCACACCAUGCUGUAGCCCUGGGAGGGUGUUAAGCACAUCUCCAGCACAGGAGAGCACGCUGACAGGAAGAGUUUACUAGGAAUUGCGAAGGAAGCAGGUUUAAGCAAGCAAGGCUUAGAAUUAAAUGUGUUGCAAUAUGUAUUGGUAUUUGAUCCUUUGAAGUUUCCUACAGCCCUUCUGUCCAUUCAACUCAUGCAGUUAGUAAACCAGACCCUCAGACAUUUCUGCUUCUUAAACACGAUGUACUGAACUCCAUAUGUAGAUGCCCAACAUUAGUGGACAGCACUUGUAGGUCUUCUCUUCUUGUAGAAGGUGAUAACAGUUGCUUUGCCUAUUACAACACGAGCUCUCCAUUAAUUAGGACUUUCAGAGAGAGAUGUGUGUAGGCUAUGAACAUGCAGAGUGAUGCAGAGAGGUGGGAAACAGAUGUGUGGUCAUAUAUGCACCAGCCAGCUAUUACUCAGAUACCAUCCGCCUGCUAAUUAGUGCCUGGAAUGUUGAAUAACGUUGGUGUUUAUGUGAUUGCUUGACUGCAGUCCUGCAUCUGGUUUUCACACUUGUCUCAAUCGCUGCACAGUACCAUAAGUAACAUGCUUCAAUUAAAAUUGUUUUGAAAGUGAUGUAUCUAGAACUUCCUUGUUACAACAGAUUAAUUUCUUGGUGUAGAUUGCUGUAAGUAUAGGGCCAUCAGCUUUCUGUGCCCUUGAAGAGCUAGCAUUUGGGUUAACACUGGAGGGGAAACCUGACUCAUCCAUUUUGCUUCCUGUCAUGCUAAUGAACCCAGUGUGUGCCAUCUCAACUUUAAAUUACCCCCUUGGUGAUUCUCAGUGUACCCCUUUCAGUGAUGAGACAGCAAAGAGGAGCCAAUUUCUGAGCUGCCAUAGCUGGGGAAGUUAUGGGAUAAUAUUACCUGUGUGACAAGCGGCUCCUUAGGAAAACUACUGCAAUUUAUCUUAAGUUUGUGUUUUGCUGUAUUAUCUCUUAAGAAUUUUGAUGCAAAGUAUUAGUGUUUCCAGUUGCUACGUCUUAAAAAAACCAUGCUUGCAUGCACACAUAUGAGCAUAUAUUUUUAGAGCAGACUUUUUUCUUUUGUGAAGUCCAGAUCUGAGAUAUGUUUCAGUCCUGCACAUCAUUAUAGGAACAGGCAGUAGCAGACAGCACAAUUAGUGUUGCCACACUGGGGUUAUAAAUUAUCUACUACUCUAUACUCUGCUGUAUUCCAGGUAAAAGGCACAUCUGUAGAUCAGAAAGAGUGACUCUGAAUGCGAUGCCAGAACAUAAAUACAGAGAUGAUUUUUCUCUGAUCCAGUUUCUGCAUUUGUAAAAUGUUUCUCACGCUUUCCUGGAGCAACUUCCUUCUUUAUCCAUAUGAAAAAGCUCAUGAAUUGGAAGAGUGUUUCUAUCUUCCAGUUGAAAGGUGUAUUUUGCAGAAUACAGAUGAGAUAUUUGUUGGCUAGCAAAGAAUAAAGCAAAACAAGAGACAUGCCUUUCAAGUACAAAUGGGGCUUUAGAGAUCUCUUUUGGAGAGCCGAAUUUCAUGUGAGCACAACUGUUUCUCCAUAUUGCCUGGAACUUCAGUUACAUACUUGGCCAUACUUUCUAGUAUGGGUUCUAUAAAGAUAUCAUUUGCCAUGAUAAUUGUGUACAAAAAUGUUUAUGCACAGUAAAAAUGGAUUUCAGAGACCUUUGAAUUGCACCCACAGAUACAAAAUUUUGCAGUGCUUUUCAAUAUACUGAGCUGGAUUAAAUAUUAGUAGUAAUAAUAAAUAGGUGACAAUCCUCUCUUCAUUCUGCAGGGCUAACUAAACUUAAUGCUUUGAAGCAUAUCAGGUUUUCUUUGUUUUUAAUAUUUCUAAUAUUUGACCUCUCUAGUGAAAAAGGCGAAGUAUUUUUUAAAUAUAAAAAUCUUGUUUGCAGAGUGCAUUUUCAUUACACUGGUGGUCUCUGACUGAAAAAGAGUAAUCACAGACUUUAUAGCAUAUUUUUAACUAGGUGGAUAACUGGUUAUUAUAGAGAAUGUGUUGGUUUUCUAUUCCCAGCUAAAUAGAAAAAUUACGUUAGUAAACUAUAGACUGCGUAGGCUUUUUCUAGAAAUUGUUUUCUUUAAUUAUGUCAUAUAUAAGCCCUAGUCAAAAGGUAUAUUUGUCCCUGAUUUCAGCAGCAGUUAAGUCAUUUAAGUAGGAGCUAGACACACAAAUGUGUUCUAUAUGUGACCAUAGUAGCUAUUUAAGCUGAGGAUUUAAGCAGACAGAAUGUAAUUAUCCCCAUUGCAAGACUAAUACACAAGGGAAAAAUACCAUAGGAUUUUGUAAUAGCAGCAAGUGGUCAAGACAUUACAUUUAUGCUUUGCUAGUUUUACCAGCUGUGUCUCAUUCCAUUAUUCAGACAGACAGACACAUACACACACACACACCUCUCUUCUAAUUAAUUAUAGUUGCCUACCAGUGGGGGAGGAAAAAAAAAAAACAACUCCAGAGGUGAUUUUCCAGAGAAAAUCUGAUUCUAGAGUGGGGCCACUUCUAGAAAUCUGCAGAUGUGAAAUAGGUUUUUGAGGUUUAAAAGUCUUUGAUCAUCACAUGAAUCUGAAAAAGAAAUGCAGUUAUUGGGAUUUUCUUAGUGAUGUACUUAUCUCAGUUAAAAUCAAAAGAAAACAUCAGAAAAAGACUUUGGUUUUUCUGCCUUGUGUUAUGCAUGAAGCUGCGUCUAUCUAUGAUUCACAGUGACAAAACAUUACUCUGUGGAAAACACAGUGAAGGCAGGGCACUGUGCAUUAGAAACCAGGGUUUAAAGUGCUACGUCCAAAUGGGCAGGUAUAGGUGAUGACACCACAUCACCUACGUUCCUAAACUCUUAAUCUUUAAAAAAACCCCUUCUGUUUCACAUGGUAUAAUAUUUCCUUGCCAGCAGUGCCUCGCUCUCUGCUGAAAUACAGUGUUUGUGAAGGAGAGCUGGCUGAGCACGAACACUGGGAAAUAAAAAUGAAAACAGCUACAAAAUACACGGGUGUUUGAAGAUGGUAGAAUAGUGUUUUGGGUUUUUUUCACAUCUUUGGUAGAGGGCUGGGGUAGAAGAUGGUCUUUUAAACGUUCUUGAAUAUGAAUAAGAGCAAGUAUCUAAUCCUUUCACUUGCAGGGGUGUUUGUUUUCUAUGUGACUGAAUCACUUGCUCUCCUGAAGGCAUCAGCCCUGGUCUCUAAAUCCUCCUGCUGGCCUUUGAAUCUUGUAAAUAUUUUAUUUUUUCAACUGGAAUUAAAGCCCCAUCUUGACUUUGUAGCCUCCAUUUGAUUCCUUCACAGGCUAAUUGCUGGCCUUUGGCAGUGUGUUGAAGUUAAGCACGGAUAAAACAUGUUUCAUGGACGUGAAGCCCUUAGAUGCACUGCAGUUUUGCACAGUAUUUCCGCUGCUCAUAGGAGUAAUUGUAUUCUGACAGAGCUGUUUAUUUGUUAUGUUACACGUCUGCAGUGUACAUUACCUUGAAAGAGUUGAGACAAUGCUACAUUGACUUGUUUAAACAGUAACAAUCCUCAGAAAAAACACCUGGGCUUUCUAGGUGUGUCCAUGAAGGAUGGAGAAACCGGGACAGUACUAGUCUGAGAGUGAAGAGAUUGGGUGAGAUUUGGUGGAGAGACUGGAAGAUGGAUAAGUUGUGGUAGGCAGAGUGAGGCUGCCUGACAAGUCAGUAGGUGGGAAGAAAGCAGGAGGUGUGGCAGGUUGUGGGAAGAAAAAGUUGCUGGAGUUCCCAAAGACAUCGCCCUGCCUUGCCGGGCUAUUGCCAUCCGAAACUCGCUGCGUGCGCAUGGGAGCCAGCUGCCCUUCCUGCUGCGUGUCCGGAAGUCAGUUUAUUGGAACUCCCUGAGUUUUUGGGUCCUGCUUCUGCAGGAACCCUUGCAGGCAGCUCUGGGCUCAUGGUCCUGCGUUUGCAGUCAGCCACUCUGCAUGAGCAUCUUGGUAGUGAGGAUGCUCUCAGGCAGAGCGCUGCAAAGCCUCGUUUAUUCAGAUUUGGGGCAUUUGGAACACCUAAUUGUACUGUCAGUGUUCCAUGAAGAAAACACCAAGCAAUAAUCCAUCGUUUUAAACACCCUGUAAAAGCAAUUGGGAAAUUAAGUGCUGCAGGAUUAGGGUCCUAAUUGCUCAUAUAUAGUGUCUCAGCUCAGGCUGGUGAAAAUAGACCUUGUUCUUUCUUACGUGGCAUCAUUCCUUUCACUCCUAAAUUAGGCAGUGAUUAAAAAGAUCUAUAACUGAAGUUCUCUGGGUCCCUGUGAUAGGGCUGGGUGGGAAGAACCUCACACUGAAAGAAGGUUUGUUGAUUUAGCUGUGCUGGAUAUCUAAUGUUUCACCCUGACUGUUAGUUUCAUAAGUACUAAAUGUAGUAAUUAUGCUUAAAUAUAAAAAACAAAAGAAAAAAAAAGUUUCAAGUGUUCAGACUUAUGGAUGACUGGCAGAUUAAAUACCAGGGACCUGGCAGUGUGUGCAUGGCUCUGGUUCAGCUGCAACUCCUUCGACCAAACUGAUGGGCCUAAGGACUAGGAAAAAGACAAGUUAGAGAUUGCCACCAUUGCUGGUGAGUAGAGUUAAACAGCAUGAAUAUGGAGGAAGCUGUGUUUUAUAUAGUAUUUGUGUUUGUGGUGUAAAUCCAUUCAUGGCUUUAGUUACUUCAGCAAAUAUGGUUGAAGAGCUUACUACUGUUUCAUUUUAAUUUCAAAAGAAGUUGGGAACUAGACACAGAACACAUCCAGGGAGGCCUAUUUAAUAUGGACAUACAGAGUAGCAAAACUGGGACCUGGUGGCGUAAAGGGGGCUCUCUUAAAGCAUUGCUUGGUGUAAUUAAUUCAUGUCACAGCAAAUCUAUAUUUUGGGUAAGCUUCAGAAAAUUCUGGGCUGGAAGAGAAGGGUGUGAGGACUUGCUGAUUGUAGGACAGUAAUUCUCUUAGUGAGCAGGUACACUGCCAGCUCGAACUGGUGCUGAAAACAAACAUGUAGAAAACAUGGAUGGUUGUACGUAGUAUGCUGGUACUGGUUGUGAGGACUUGAAUUCAUGCUUGUAGGUAAAAGUACUAAACUUAAGCAUAAUGCUUCCUUUCACUGAGUCCUACCUACUUUUUUCAGCUGCCCAUUGCUGAGGAAAGAAGUGAAAGGAGCUCAUGAAAUAUGGCUUCGUCUCCCUUUGAUUCAGCUGAUGCCAAGGAUGGAACUAGACAGUGAUCUUCACUCUUUCUUCUUUCAUCCUGCUAUCCUUUGAUGUUUUGCCUCCUAAAAUCCUUUUUGCCAAAUCAAUCCAACUCCUUCUGGUCAAAGUGUGGGUGUUAGAGUGUCCACUGACAGCUUUGAGCUUCCUUGCUUUCAUUCAGGCACUUGGAAAGGGACAAUGAGGCAGCAAGGAAGAUAAAAGGAGUCAUUCAGACUUCUGUUUCAGAUGAAAGAAUCAAGUUUGGUGACAUAUUCCAGUCUAACAGUAUGGCUUCUGUUCUUUGGGGCAAAAUAUAUAAGAAUAAAGUGAACAAAGAAGUAUUCAUACUGUAUCUGCUGAAUUGUAACCCUGUUCCUGUGUUGUACACCAGGUUUUUGAGCCAUGUGGAUUUUAAUGAAGAAGAUUAACUGGAAGUUUGGGUCCCUUCUCCAUUCUCCUUUCUCUCUUCCCUUUCCACUCUCCUGUUCUUUAAAAUCAUCCCACAUGACCCCUGUAGGAGGAGUUUUCAGGAAUCAGUUCAGGGUCAAAGUCUGGAUUUCAUAGACCCAUGUCAGGUCACAGGGUUGCUUUGCACGAAUUUACCACUGUGGAAUAAGCAGUUCCAACUUUAAAAGAUUUAUAUCUUAUUUAUCAAUAUAUUUAUGUUAUUUAAACUUAUUUAUAUUAUCUUCUUAGUAAGAGGCAGUCUCCACAGUGUACUGGAAGGGAGUGCAGAGUGUUCAGUGUUUACUGAAAGGCUCUAUAGAGUUAAAAUCUGCAGAAAAAGUACCCAGUUCAUCACAAAGAGCUAUUUUCUGGAAGCUUAAGUUUUGUUUUGUUUUUGGUUUUUUUUUUUUUUUUUGAGAAGGUCAUUUGGGUCUGUAUUAACUUGAGCUGACGUCUAUAUUUUUUUUCCCACAAAACAUAAUGUAAACUUUGUACAUUCCCAGUGAUAAGUCAGAUGUUACAGCAAGCUCAAGGAGAGAUUUGUACUCUGGGAAAUUAAACUCCACUGAAGCUGGUGUGUUGUUAAAGGUCUCAGAAACAGGCUUCAUUCAGAAUGUUUAGUUAAAAUCUCAAAGAUAGCAUAUAUUCCUAGAUAUUAAGAUAAUAGAUAUUAACUAAACUGCUAAGUUGGAAAGGGCAUGAGGGCAUGAGAGGAAAGGAGUAAUAAAAAAAGUAAUAAAAAAAAUUUAGAGCAUGUCAGCUGAAGAUCAUUUACAUAAAGGGACAACACAAUUAAGAUAAACUAAAUACUAUUAUAAACAAACGAAUAAGCUAAUUUUAAUUAAGAUUAAGUGUGAUUGGAUUUAGGUCCUCCUCACUGCUCAUGAAGAAGUGGGUCUGUACUCUCUAUACCAUGCCUCCAUCAUAGUGUUCCUGUUUGGUAGUUUUAGUCAUUCAGUCCAGAAAAAACCAACCUGGAAACUGGCUUCUUGGAGUACAUCUUAAUGUUUUUCAAUAAAUUGAGCACAGCUGAUUUCUUCCUUUGUUUUUUUUCUUUUUUCUUUUUGUUUUGUGGGUUUUGUUUUUUGUUUUUGUUUGUUUUUGGGAUUUUUAAGAAUUUUUGGGGUUUUUUCCCCUCUGGAAAACUCCAUUGGAUCUGUGUUGUUUGGAUUUCAUUUAUCUCUUUAGAUCUGCUUCCUUCAACUCACUACAAGGAGAUAUGGCAUGGUAUUUUUUUGCUAAGUCAACUUAGCACAGACUAGUUUUGAGGAAAGUGUAAUCUUUCACCUCUUGCUGGUGUAGCUGUACUUCAGUAUUUACAGGUUAUAUUUUCUUCUAUGGACUUGUUUGUUUUGCAUUGCUGACUUUAAGAAGGUCAAAUUUACACUUUAGAACAAAACUACUUGCCUACAAGAGUACUGGAAAAAAGAAUGCUUCUGGAACAAAGAAUGAUUAUAAUGAAACUCAUCUUCUCCCAAAGAGCCUUCCAUGUGAAGUGCCCCAAAAUUCUUGUUGGCUUGUCUUGGGUCCUUGUUUUUUAUCAUUUUGUUAUGUCCUCAGGCUUGGACUUUUUGUCCUAAUUCUCUGUUGUUAAAAAAAAAAAAAUAAUAUUCUGGUUGGGUAAGCAUUUGUUAAAAGAAAAUGUGACCUAAGAUAUAAACUUGUAAAAUAGGUUGUUUUUUAAGUCUGUAUGUAUUCUGAGUAAAACGGAAGACUGAAAACUUUUUGUUUAGGGUUGUGAAGCUUGUAUUGACAUAAAAAUAUUCAAAUUACCUAAAAUGGUAAAUUGUGAAUGUUCAUCACAUAGCAGUGAAAAUGCUUUCAUGUUGGAGGUGUGAUUAUGAUCUAUAGAGUGAGUGCAACAGUGCUAGUUGGGAUGUAAAGUUCUUUACUGGAAAUAGAAAUGUGUCCAGUCACAUGAUGUCACUGCACCCCUCAUUUUCAUUGGGUCAUGCAUGUGUCCCAGCUAUUUUCAGAAACACUGAGUAUCUUCAGAUUGGGUGUGAUGUUCCUGGUGCCUGGGAAAGGGGCACUCAGUCUUUUGGAUCUGUGACUAUCCUAUGCCUCAUCCACCAGUGACUGUCCAGUUGUAGAGCUAACAGCUUUUUUUUUUUUUUUUUUUUUUUUUUUCAUAGAAAGGAAACAAAGAGCAUAUGUUAAGUUAGAAACCUUCUGGUUUAGGUUUGGAAUAAUCUCCUAGGGAAGCCAUCAUGAAAACCAUUUUCUCCGACCUAAAGCAACCUAAAGGAGGAAAACUACAGAGAGGUAUUUUGAAAAGCAAGAAAACAUAGCUGGCCCUUGAAUAGCUGCUACUGUCUGCCCUUGUUAAUGGUCAGACCCAGCUGUACAGCAGAGAAAUAAAAAGGGAAAAAGCCCAGAAGCUCCUGAAAUAAAUGUAAAAAACCAGGGAGCAAGGCUUCCCUUAAACAGGGAAAAAAGAGGGUUCUCCAGCAUUCAGAGAUCCAUUCCUGUAUUUACCCAUUGUAACUGCUUACCAAAUCCCUUCAAAAGUUUCCUCCCAGAAUUUACCCUAUACCAAGACACAAACCAAAACAUCCUCCAGAAUACUUGCAGUGCCAUAGAUAAUUCCCAAGCCCAGGCCUGUGGAAGCAGAAGCUGGUGAGGGAAAAAGCCACUUGAUGAGAAAGAGCAAAGGGCAGAGGUUGAGUUUAUCUGGCAGGACUUUACACUGGGUGCCUAGUCUUUGUGUAACUGAAGGGACUUUGCAUAAGGGACAAACUAAUUUAGCAUCUUCCAGGAAAUCUGCAUUUUUUUCAUUUUAUUUAAGUUCCUCGUACAGUGACGCACAUAUUCCGGGAAAAGGUCAACAUCAGCAAGCAGUUUAGUGGGUAAAUUUUGUUGACGAGUGCCAGUGAAAUAAAUUUCGUUGAUGAAUGCCAGUGACCAAAGAAAUAAAAUGUGGAAAUGAGAAUGGGAGACUGACCUGCUAGUAGACAGCAGAAUUAAGGGAGAGAGGUUUGAGACAUGACAGACAAAACCAAGGCAAUAUGUACUUAAAGACAACAAACUCCCUCAAUGCUUAUAUUGGGUUAAAAAUGUAUAUUAAUAUGAAAAAAAAUCUUCCGAAAUUAAAGAACAGUUUUUGGACACUUUGCAUGUCUUACAAUCUCUGUUAUCCACAGUGUAUGGUUUGGUAGGUUGUUUUGGUCUUACAUGGUACUGAAACACUUAGGCUGGAUAAUUUAAGGAAUUUCACUGGACUGGUGUGUACAUUACCUGUGAAAGGCUACUAAGGAUAUGAAUGCCUCUUUUGCCUGUUUCACAUGCAUACAUGGAUGUGCAUUCACAUAUGCAUGUUUAUUGUAUGGUGUUGAAUAAUACAUGUGUACAAAAAGUAAUUUCAACACAAAAUAAUGUAAUAUGGGGUAUUUAAUUUUUAAAUUAAUAUAUAAAAUAAUAAAAAUAUAGUGUAGUAUAAAAUAAGCUCUACUGCAUCCAACACCAUAGAUGAAAACUCAGUUGACAGAGGUAUUCUAAACACUGUAAGACUGUUGUAAUCCAGCUUCUAAAAUUCACAGAAUGAUGGCUAUGUGAGUAGUAAUAAUUAUUAUAGUCUUUAUAUUUCUGUCUGCUCAGAGGAAUUUAAAACAUAGGACAGAGCUGUGAUGGCAUAGUAUUUUUUCAAGAUGAUUAAAACUUUUAUUAAUAUCCAGAAUUUUUAGAUGCUAGAGUAGAAAACUUUGUAAUUGAACAUCUUGAACAAUUUGUGUCUAAUUAUAAAGAACGCUGUGUAAGCAGAAUUUAGUACUUUUUUGGAAGUCGAGGUUAAGGUUAAGCAGGAAGGAAGACUGGGUAAUGACUUUUCUGAGGGGAAGAACAGAUAAGUUGUACAUAAAUAUAGCUUCCCCAGACAGCCUUUGUGUUCAACUACCUGACCUAACACUAAAUUUAAGAAAAGUUCUGGCUGCUAAUGUGCAAGAUCAGAAAAGCAUCCCAUUCAGAACUGGCAGCUGUCUGAUAAUUAUGUUGUGGUUGUUCAACAUCUGUUUCUUGAAGUAAGUGUUUUUUCACCUAGGCUAAAAUACAGACUCCUUUCUUGUUCAUAGAGCCUGUACUGUUGGAUUGUUUGUGCUUGGAUUUCUCUGCUUUACAGGAUGUGGGGAAUGCCCUCCCCAGUGAGAUGAGAUGUGUUCAAUAGGUGACUCCUGUUUCUGGGUAGCAAGACCUGAGAAAGAAAGAAAGCCCACGAUUCUCUAUUGGUUGUUCAGAAAAUCAAGAAUAUUUCUGAUCUCUGCUUUGGUGUACAGAGCAGACUAUUGCAAAAAAAAUUGCCUUUCCCUAUCAAAGCUGCUUUAAAUUACAUGUCUUCAAUCAUUUUAAGUAAUCCAGAAGGAACAAUUUUAGGGUAAAUUUGGAGCUUCCCAAAAAACAUAAGGACAACGGCAUGGUGUCUCCAUUUUUUUGCUUAGUAAAUAUUAAUUUAUGACAUAUCUACAUUUGCUAAAUAUGUGAGAAUUAAGUACAAAAAGCAAGUUCAACAAUCCAGAGGUUUCUGGUUUUUGGUUGUUUUGGUAUUUUAGUUAGCAUGUUGGCUCUGCUUGAGUUUCCUGCACCUGCUUGUAAAACAAUAGACAAUACAACUCCUCCAUAAUAUAACCUUGCAAAAUUUUGAAGUGUGUUAUAAAUAACUUCCUAGUAAGCCAGAACAAGAUUAGCAUGUUUUUGCUGUUACUUUUCCCCAGCGCAGAUUGGAAAAGUUUGUGCACUGGAGUAGUUUACAAGUUGAUAUCCUGCCUUUGGUUUCAUUAAAAUGCUGGUUUUUAACAACCCUUUAUCAAGUUACUUCCUUUCAGAUAAAGGACUCAAGGAUAUGUAUUUUCCCUCAUAUUUCCCCUCUCCUCCUUCUUUCAAGCUUCAGGAACCAGGACUUUGAAAGGGUUAGGAAAGCUCCCCAUUUGAAGAGCUUGGGUACCUAAGGCUUCAGGUCUGGAACACAACAGGAUCUGCUCCCUUCUGUGGCACCGCUCCCAGCCCGAGCUGCCCUGGGCAGCGAGGGAGAGUUCAAGGUUCACUUUGUGCUCUCCCACAGUGUAGAUGACAUUAUGCAAACAGCUACAUCAAGAAUUUAUUUAUUGAUCUUGCUUUUUUAAAGAGGAAAUGUAAGGAAAAAAACAACUGAUGGUUUAGGGGGAAAAAAAGUCAGAAAGAAGAAUUUUGGGUCCUAUGAGAUAAGUGUCGAACACUGUUUCUUUGCACAGAACACAGGAACGCCAGCUGGCAAGGCAUUUAUUUUUGCUUCAGAAUGUAUUUGAACAGUAAACAAUUUAAUAAACUUUCCUUUUUAGUAGUUUUCAAGCCUUUUCUAGAAGACAGCUAUAAAUUGUGUGAAAAAGACAUGUAUAAAUUAUGUCUCUGGUAUGCACAACAGUUUUGUUGAGACUUCUGUGGGUUUUUGUGGGUCUAAUAGUAGUACUGACCCCUUAAAACAAAAAAGCUUAAUAUCUUUGGGUGAGAAAGUGAAUUGUAUUAACCAUCCCAAGUAAAUCUUUGCUGGUUUGAAUUUGGAGACAUCUACUACUUUCAGGCUGAAAAAAUGUCUUUUGGAAAAAGUAUCUUUUAGUGAUCCCCAGUAGAAGAGAGAUGUGGAGCUACCAGGCAGAAUCGAGCAAAGGACUGUGAAGAUGAUGAUGGGCAUUUCUUCUUUGAGGAAAGGCUGAAAGAGCUGGGACUGCUCAGCCCGGAGAGGAGAAGACUCAGGGGGUGUCAUCAUUAAUACAUUGAAGGAAGGGUGUACAGGAGAGGCAGCAAAGUGCUUCCCAGUGACAGGACCAGAAGCAGUGGGCACAAACUGAAACAAAGGAGGUUCCCCCUGAACAUAAGAACAUGCUUUGUUUUCACUGUGACUGAGCCCUGGCACAGGCUGUUCAGGGAGGCUGGGGAGUCUCUGUCCCUGGUAUUAUUCAGAAGCUGCCUGGACACAGCCCAGGCCACUUGCUCUGGGUGGCUGCGCCGAACAGGGUGGUUUGGAGCAGAAGACCUCCAGAGGUCUCUUCUCAACCAUUCUGUGAUUCCAUGCAGCUAUGCUAUGUCUUUAAAGGAGUUCUCGUAUACUGAUUUUCCUCUCUUCUUUUUCAUCUUUCUUUUCCAAAGAUUUGCCUUAUUUGAAGCAGUUGAUUGCAAGCCAAUCUAAACCUUUAGUCUAGACAGAUAAAACUGUUAUUUGCAGCUUAUCUGACUUGCAGUCAUAGCAAUUCCACAGGUGCACAGAGCAAGUUCAUACUGGAUUUAUUUUGCCUUCCCUCUUGGCUUGUGCCUGAUUUGCAUAUGCACACUGUCCACCGAUGGCUGAAACUUGUGAAUCAGUCUGUUUAUACAACCUAACAUCAGAAGAUGUGUCCAUGUGGAUGCAGUCAAGAUUGCUGAGAUACCUCACAAAACUUGUUAAGUAUCAGAAGCAUAAUUGCAUUAGUCUAGGAAAAUGCUGUGCUAAUGUGGAUAAUAACGUCCAAAGUAAUUAAUUGCUGAUGUAUAUUACUACGCUGUCCUGUGUACGUCAGCCCUGCAGUUGUUGUCCCAGAGUCUGGUAUCUGCCCUCAUUUUAUUUCAACAGACUUCAACUCCACAGGAUAUAAUGUAGGACAUAAUUGAACAAUUUCACUGUUCCUAAAAUGAAAUAGAAGAAGUAACACUGUUUGUCUUGAUAAACCAUAUCUUAAUUGGCUUUGAGGAGGACGAUUUCCCAAAAACGAACCUGAGUUCUGCCAUUAAAGGAAAAAAAAAUUGUUAAUGGAAAUUGGAAGGAGUUUUCAUUUUGUUCCAGCAGAGUUCCUAAUUCUGCAGGCAAAAAUAGGAGCAAUUUUUCAUCUGUCAAUAACAUUCUGCCUGAAUCUGGGAGUAAUGGCCUUCUGCAUCAUCUUGUUUACCGCUCCUGGUUGAAAAAUGCUACAAAUUCAGUAUCAGAUUAGACAGACACAUUUGUUUAUAAAGCCUGUGAGGCUGAUGGGAUACCAGUUUUCCAAGCCAUUUAUAAAUAGCAGUAUUUUAGGCUGGGGUAGAGGCUGAAUGGGGAAGCUUCAGAGGGAGAGAGUGUAGAGCUGUGACCCAGAGCUGCAUUCAUGCAUGAAAUGAGAUCUUGUACAGUGGACGUUCUUAUUUUGGCUAAUGUAGCCGCAGGCAGAAAAUUCUCUUGCUGCAUUCUUGAAAGAGUUUGUUUUUCUUCCCUUUCUCUUUAACCUUGUACAUUAAUUAUCACUCUGCCUUUUCCGAAUGGUAAAUUGGUCAAUUUAUAGGCAGAAAAGUGCAUAUUCAUGUACUUCAGAAACAGUGAGUGAAUGCAUGCUUUUUCUGCUGGCAUCACUGUACACAGAGUACUUUCCUACCCUGCCAGUUUUCCUCAAGAAUUUGUGCACUUUUAAAGUGUUAUCCUGAUGUCUGGGGACAGGAUUGUGUAUUUGGGGAUCUUUUUUUCAUUUAAAUUUUUGUUCAUAUAGUCUUCACUUUUGGUUAAUAAUAGCUUUGCUUUCUCUAGUGAAAACAUGGGGAGGUUAAUCAGUGCAUGCAGAUGCUCAAUGAAAAUUAAUGGGAGGAAAAGGUGCAUUUAAAUUUCCAGUUAAAAUCCCAUUUAAAAAUUAGCUACUUUUAGAAAUACUACAACUUUCAUGUAAAAGCAAGGGAAAAACAUAUAUCUUGGUACAAAGCCUCUGCAAGAGGGCAGUAAAAUCAGUCAGGAAUAACUGUUGCUGCCAGGAAUGGUUAUGCUAGGUGAGUGCUAGGGCACUGGACUGGGCAGCAUCUUACACUAAAUAGGUGUGGAUAAAAUACACUCUGAAUUAAUUGCUGAUUCACUAUGUUUACUAUUAAAUAUAUAAAAGAAAGAACAGUUUAGAAAACAAAAUGUUCCUGUACUACUCUUAAUAUUACAAGAACCUUCAGAUGCAAAAUUGAGAGUCUUACCAGAAUACCUUUUGGUUUCAAAGCAGGUUACAUGGGUUUUUCAACCCCAAGCUAGUUUUCAGUGUUCUGGAAACCAUUUGUCAUCCUCUGAGGAGGUAAACCAUGGAAAGAAAAAGAAAAGAGAUUGUAGGUAAUGUGCCAUGGCAGUAAUGUCUGAUCUACAUUGUAUGGUUCUGGAUUUUGGUGCCUACUGGUGGGAUAAAGUUUGAAAUGUGCUCUUGGGCUGUUCUUUUGAAAAGGAGGGAAAGAAAGAAGGGAAAAAAUUGAUUGGUCAUUGGCAACACACUAAAAUAGAUAACUCGGUGCCAAAUCUUAUUUUGAAACUCUGAAGGGAACAAAACCCUUUAGUUUUCUAUGUCAGUACAGUGGUAGUAAUGUUGCGAGUUGCUCUGAAGCAAUGUUGCAAAAAUACAUCUGAUUUAUUCUUUGAAGUACCUGGGGUUUGUGUUGUUGUUUGUACAACUUGCAUGUCCUGACAGCUGACUGUACUUGCCUCCUUUGGUCACGGUAACUGCUUCACAUUUCAAGUGAAGUUCUCUACCCUGCUGUUUUGAUAGAUGUUUACUAGGGCUGGCUGUUACAUAGGUAUUAAUUUCUUAUAUGACAAAAUGGGGAUUAUCACUUGUCUAGAGUAAGCUGUACUCACUGUUAUCACUAUAUUUCAAAGAAGUGUUUAACUUGAAUUCCAGAAAAGCAUGCAGCACUUAAUCUAAUUCUCUUGUUCGUCUUCUUGAGUUAUAUAUUCUGGGUAUAUUGAUUUUUUUUCUUUUUUUAAUAAAAGUAGUCACCAUGCAAAUUACUGGAAUACAGAAGUGAAUCUUGUACCUAUCUGUAUUUUAGGCCAGGAGAAAAAUUAUUAGCGCUGCUUAGAAAUGUUAACAAUUUCUUUUUUUUCUGAAAUUAAGUCUUGUUUAAACACUGAGUUUUUAUUUGCAAAAAGCUCUUACAGAUUUCAGACCUAUUUUGGCCAACUCUUGCUGAUUUUAGACUGAAUUUGGAAAUAAUUUCCAUUUUAUUGUUCACUCUUGUUAAAACAUAAAUAUUUUAAGAGGAACAUUUAUGAUCUUCACCCACAACUAGCUCCAAGGAUGGUAAUAAUUACAAUGUGUAGAAACACACACUUUGCACUGUACAUCUUCUUUACUUAAAGUAGAUCUGGUCACAGUGACAGCCUUGACAGCUGUUGUAAUUGUUCUAGGGAAGGUGUGGAGGAAAAGCUCCAAUGUCACCAGACAAGAAGAAAGAAACCCACAAGAGGGAAGAAGAUUGAGGAAAUCUGAUAUAUCUGACUUGAAGAUCACCAGUUUUUAAUUUUAGUCUCUUUUUCUGAUAUAAACUGCAUCCGAUUAUUAGUUUAGUUUGUGAGUAGAUACCUCCUUAGGGGUGGAUUUUGGCAUAAUAUUCCUGCUGUAUUAUAAAUACUGACAUCACGCUAAUCUAUGCAAAUCACUGCUCAAUCAAUUUGAGCAUCUGUGGUUGAUUAAACAAAACACGUAGGUGUGAAAGCAUUUGCAUCUCACAGGCUCUGCUGGAUCUGGCAAAGGCUGAGGGGAGUGUAAAGGCAUGGAGAGAGAUUUGUCACUGCAAUGCCUGCCUGGCAAUUUGGAGUUCUAAUUGCGACGGGCACAGAGAUACCUGCGUGGGCUGAGGCUCUGGAAGAAGAGGAGCUUCAGCCCAGCUGCUUGAAGAUGUGAAUCCAGCUCAGACUCAGACCUGAUUCUGUGACUGCAGUCAUGUUAAAGCUCAGAUCCAUGGGGCUGCAGCUUUCAAGGUUGUGCUGUGGUCACACCCGCGGCCAUCCCCGUAGAUCCCAAGCUUCCAGGGGUAGCUGGUCACCAGAGAAGCCUUGGGAUGGCCGAGCUCCUGCAGCUGGUGGAUGCUGAGGUUGGCAGCACUUGAGGGGAACCUCAGGCAAGUAGGAAGUGCCCUCAAGGUGUUCUGUAAGAGGCAGCAAGCACAGGGUACCUGGACUCUGCCAGUCCCUCAGACUUUUAUAUAAUCCAUGAGUGGCCACUCUUACAUUGCUUUUCCCCAAGUUUGUUUAUUCUCUCCUUCUGUUCCCUUCUAUGCCUGGGCCUGACCACAGAGAAUGGGGGUAAUGAAUAAUAGAGGAAACAGCUUGUGUUGGGUGAGGAGAGAAGGGGAGAAGUGGAUUUACUAAUAACUGAUCAGACGUAGUCAUAGUUUGGCUUUUGUUCACUACACAGUGGUAACGCUGCUUGUACAAGGAUGAAGAGAACCAAAUUGUUCUGUGUCAGUGGAUCUCUUUGUGAAUUAAGUCAGUGGCAUCAACUGUUGAGCAACAGAGAACCCCUCGUCACUGCUUGGGAGGUCCUCAGUGUCCGCUCUGCUGGGCCGGGAGCUUCCAGGAGAGCAGCUCCCAUGGGAGGGUUAUAAUCAGCUGACUUGCUGCACACCCACUGCCUCUUUGUGGAAGCACUUCUGUCUGUAUGAUGAGAAAUCACUAAGGAAUAAUUCACAGUACUCUGUUGACUCUGAAGUGAAGAAGUGUUCCUUAAAGUAAAUACACGACUUAAUCAAACUGAGAAAAAGUUAUUUAAAGGGACACUAUCCUGUGAAACAGCAUAUUUCCCAGGUCUGAGUCACAGAGAUCUAAGGUAGCCAAGUCAUAGCACAUUUUCACUUCUGGAGAGACAUCAGCUCUCUUCAAUAAUAGGAUAUUUAACUGAGUUUUACAGGUUUUGAGUUUGUCAGACUGAAGAAGUGGUGAGAGUGAAGAAUGAACUGCUUUUGGUCCACCAAGGAAAGCUGAGGUUGUGCACUGGGGCUGGCAGAGAGAGAUCUGGUGAUUCCCAGAAUGAUGAUGUUCGCCCGGGUGCGGUGUGCUGCUUUCUGAUAAUUUAGUGCUUUCAUAAGAAAUGUGUUUCCAAAACUAAAAGUCUGUUUGAGCUACAGUUCCCUUUAAAAUAAAAACUUGUUUUUAUUUUUUUUCCCCCAGUGAGAGCAGGUAAGUAUAACUCAGCUGUGUGCUUGCAUUCAGAACUGCAAUCCUCCUUCCAAACCUACAAUAGCAAUGUGAAAUUUUAGUAUCAAAAUUACAAAUUGUUCAAGAAAGGCAAGUGAAACGCUUACUGUACAAGAGCCUGAAGUAGCCUUAGUUAAAAUGGUCUAUUGUCUCUGAACUCUGGACUUCAGGUGAGGGAAGGCAUGCACUCUUGUCCUCUUGACUUUCUGUGGAUGAUGAUCUUGACAUUGCUUAUGCAAAAGUCUUGCUAACUUUCUGAUUUUCAUAUUUUCUCAUGGCAUAUGUUUAUUUUCCAUUGGAAGCCUGUCUGCUAGCAUCCUGAGAUUUCAGGAAGAUUUCAGCUCUUGCUUUUGAAGAGUGCAUUCCUAACAUUCCUGAAAAAUGCUUAGAAGCUGUAAGUGCUCAGAAAUUAGAAGGAAAUAAAAUGUUGAAGUCCAUUAUUUGUUUAAAAAAAGUCUGUUUUUAUGCCAAAUGUGGAAUUUUAUGGUAUCCGACUCAUAUUCUUGAGUAUUUGUUGUUGGCAGUACUUCAAUGGGUAGAACAUAUGGACACUGCUACUACGAGCUUGCCUGUCAUAAGUGUCUCAGCAGCAAAUACCUUUUAUGUCUUUGGUCCUCGGGUCAGGUAGAACUAUUGACUUCUUUGCUGUAACAGUCAGAGUGCCAGCUGGGCUGAUGGCUUUGUACUGUGGACACUUGUACAAUGCACAGAGAGGUGAGAUCUCAUGCAGGCUGUUCAAAAGCUAUCCACUCGCAACAAUUUUAACACUGUUCAAGCCGAUGCUGAUACAGGAUAUAUUUGGCUUUUCAUUUCCCUCUCCUAAUUCUUAUGAACAUUCAGUUCAUCACUUUUUUUUUUUUUUUAUUUAACAGCUAUAUGGCCAGACAUUUUCUUUGGCUGUGUGCAGAAUAAUUAAGGUCUGUCCAUCAUUUAUUUAACUUCAGCUUUAUUGUUCUUUAAAUAAGUUUCUCUACAUUUCCUUAUGGUUGCAGGUACUGACUGUCCCUGGCCACUGUACAGCUGUGAAGUUGCCAGAGAGAAUAAAUGGGCCAGUGUGUCCACAUCUGGCUGGUUUACAGUCCUGUUAUAGGGUCGCUUGUACUCUUCUUUCCUUGAUUUCCUUAUUCUCCUGAGACUGCUGUGCUGAGACUAUCAGUCUUUAAUGGAGGGAUUAUAAGAACUGAGAAUCACAUCUGAUAUGAGCACUGUCAGUUUGGGGAGGAUGAUAAAAUUUUCAUGUUGGCAGCCAAAACACUUGCACCCUUUUCUUCUGCUUUGUGACCAGGACAGUUGCAUAAAUGUGUUCAUGUGUUUAUGUACCCCCUUCUUCCACAUAUGUAAGUGAACAAUGGCAUUUUGUUUAAUCAUAUUGUUCUGCAUUAUUCAUCCAUUACUUAACAGCUCUUGCACACAGAUAUGAUGGCUUUUUGUCCUCCUCUUCCUUGUAUAGCUAGCUCUGCCUUAAUUUGGAAAAAUGACAUAGGUGAAAAUGUCAUGAUGUGCCUUCCUGAUGCCUCUCCCAACGCCUCUCCCAAAUCUUACUGACAGAUAUAUGGUGUAAGCUCUGCUUCUUCAUUUAGUAUGGAUCAUGUUGGCAGAGAGAUCAAAGAGAAGGAAUCUUGGGAGAUGCCAAACAAUUUUUAACUGGCUUCUUACAAAAGCCAAGGGUGUUAUUUAUUAUAUAUGCAUAAGAAUAAAAUACUUUUUGUUCCACCUUUCAUCACAUCCUUCAGUCCUCCUGUGUCACGGCAGAAAAUUCUCGAGUUUAUCGGGUUGCCAUGAAACAUGUUUGUGAAUAUCUUUUAAUAUAUAUUUUAUUAAACAUUACCUUUUUUCUUUUCCUUAGUUAAGCAAAUACUUUAUCAUCCCGUCCUAGUCCCUCUGCCAAAAACCUUUAUAGCGGUUCCCUCUGGUGACCAAGCCAGCUUGAUCAAUUCCUCAUUGCUGCCGAGCUCCACUAACAGGGCACUUACAACUACAGCUUUUUUUUUUUUUUUUUUUUUUUUUUAAAUUUUAUGGCCUGUCUCAAAUGAUAUUUGCCUUGCUUUGCACAAGCUCCAGAGGAUACUUUUCAGAAUCCUAUUUAGAUUUGAGUUUUUGGGUAGAAUCUAUAAAUUUGUUAAGGUAUGCAAAAUUAUAUUUUCUGUUGGUAGUCCAGCUGCACCUGUUUGAGCACAGGCUGGCUCAUGUCAGACCACUGGAUCAGGAUGGUCAAACAAUGCCCAGACGAAAGUCAAAGGGAUGCCCAAGUGUUUUCAACUAAGAGAUCAACUUUGUUAUAUUUUUUUCUUGUUUGCUGUCUACCAGAGAACAAAUUUGCAGUAGCUAGGAAUAUUGGCUGUGGUGUUUUGUGUUUUUGUCUGUCUGUGUUUUGAGUCAAAGGACAACAGAACUUGGGAUGUGAACUCCAACCAAUUCCUGAUGUCUAACAGAUGCUCUUCUACCCCAGUUUUGCCUUAAGAGUUAUUAAGAUGCCAGAUUCUCUUGGAACUCCAGUAAAAGAUGGUAUUUUAGCUUGUAUAGCAAAGGUAUUAUUGUGACCUCAACCAAACCCGUAUGUUACUUCCAGUGCAUUCUUGUAUUAGAGUUCAACAUGUCAUUGAUUUAGGCUAUGUUAUUUUCCAGAGAACAAAAUGCCAUUUGUUAUUGCCAGGAAGCAUUGAAAAAGUGUAUGGGGUAUAGAAGGUGUUUUAUAUAAAACUGUUUUAUAUAUAACCUGCUUAACGUGUAGUUUCCUUGUCCUUUAUUACCCCUCUUUUCUUUUUUUUCCUUUGCUCUGUGUUUAUUUUUUAGGCAGAUUCUGCUUUUUAUUUGCAGAAGUAACUGAGGAAUAUUGAUUCUUGUCUAUGUUGGCAUGACAGUUCAACCUCUUGGAAAUAUCACUGAAGUAAGAAAUUAAAUCCAAGCAGUUAGAUUCUUACUCUCUUCAUCCUCCACUGAGUGCUUUAAGAGCCCAGACUUUUUAUAUAAGCAGCUGAGGGGAGGCAGAGUCGCAUUGUUGUUCCCCUGUAGCUUCCAGAUGGUGAGGAAAGUCCCAGGAAAAAUGUAGGACCAGCAUGUUCUGUCAAAGUCAAGCUUGUGUCUAGACAGGGAAGCUUAUGUAAGGCAGCAGGAGAGGAAGGGGCCUUGUGUAACUGCUGUCCCUGGCAAAUAAACACUCCCUACAGUACCACUCAUGAUUUGGCCCAUAGAGGCUGACAGCAAAAUGCAAUUUGGUGCUUUUUUGUACUUAGCUUGCUCGGACUUGCAGCUGGAGGUCGUUCCCUUGCUUUGGCGUUUUUUUUUCAAAUGCAUGCCUAUCUUCCAAUUAUUACAAUCUUACUAAAGGCUUUACUCUUCCCCCUUAAGCUGAACCACUUUUCCAAAGAACCCAUAUACACCUGCUCAGCUAAUUUAAAACAGAUAUAGCAAGUUACCAAUUUUAAAUGGCCUUGAGAGGUUGUUGAUGGCAUUUGGCAGACAAUGCAGACAAUAUGCAAAUCACCAGAGGCGGCAUGGAGUCUUGUUCAUGAAGAUAAAUUCUGCCGUAAGGUAGCUUUCUAGUUUGACUUUGAAAAAGUAUGAUGUAAAAUUAAGCUUGUAGUAUUCUAUUAAAUGCUUCAGUCAGUGUAUCUCAGUACCUUAUGGGGACCUCUGGCACCCCUCUAGUGCUCAACUUACCCUGCACCUACAUUUUGUUUUGAUUUUCCUCCAGCUGAAUGCAAAUCUCUGCCAGUGAGUGCUUUCUGGUUUACUCACCCUCUCAUAACAAUUCUCUCUUGAUUUUGGAGCUAUUGUUAAAGGUGCUCUGUGUGUUUAUUUCUGCCAUAAAAAUGUGAAUACCAGGAGGAAAUGUUUUUUCCUUUUGAUUUGGAUACAACCUUUUCGGCACUCCAUGUUCUGGCUUAGCUUGGUUUCUCGGGUGUUACCCUUAGCUUUGCUCUUAUCUAAGCGCUAAAUUUUCUCAAUGUAGCUUGUUGGUGCUUUGUCCUCAGGCAGACUGAUUUCUUGGAGGCAGGAUCGAGAGCCAAGAGCUCGGCUCCUUCUGUUCACCGAGGCCGUUAUUACAGCCACCUUGCAGUGAGGACACAGGCCAAGUAACUUGAGGGUCAGUAAUCCUCCAAAGCCUUCCCACCAUUUUGGCUCCCUACUUUGAAUGCCCAUUAGCACAGACAGGUUUCUCCUGAAAAGGCAUCUUUGGGAAGGUCGGCUUAUGGAGAUGCGUGCAGUGGUGGGAUGUGUGGGUUGUGUUAAUGUGAGAGAGAAAGUAGUGACUGGAGUUUGGCUGUUCACGGGUGUUGUCUGCACCUGGGAGAAAGUCCUUCAGCAGUAUUUGAAUAUGGUUUCCAAACCCUGAAGUAGGUCUGAGUGAUGGUUUGCCCUUUAAUAAUAUGACUUUUUUUCCUUUCCUCAUUGAAUGUAGCUUUGGUCCCUCCAUUUUUUUCCCUUACUAGAGCAUGUCAUGUAGUUAAUCUCUUCAUAACUUCAAUUUUGAAAACAAUUUAAUACAGUUUUGUGGCCUUUCUGACACCUAGCUCUUUUUCCUAGACAGACUAGAUAUUUAGUUCCACUCCUUUUAUUACAAACUCAAGGAAAAUAUUACUUUCUGGAGGAAAAGAAAAUGGGUACUUUUUCCUUGCGAAAAGAAAUUUGUAUCGUGGCUCAGAUUUAUUGAAUAAUUUUUUUUGGCUCCAUACUGAAAGCAGAAGCCUGGCUAAAUUAUUUUUAUGCUCUCAGGUAGAGCAUUAAUUGCUCUAUGAUGCUGCAUACUCCACUUCAGAGUAAUGUUCUUUCCAAGUUCCUGAAGAAUUAUUUCUUAAAGCUACAGAAUGAUUUUUAAAUGGCCUUUAUCUUGGUGUGUCUCUUUUUCUCUCUCCUUUUUUUCCCCCCUUCUCCAUUAACCACUUGAAAUAGUUGACAGUUUUUGAAACUUUAUUUAAAAUGAAGUUGCAGACAUCUCUGUGAAGAGUAAAACUACUGGCUUGGUCAGAGGGGAAUACUAACUGUGCCAAGACUCACCCAUGACUCUACAGGUGAAGUUACCUUCUUGAAGUAUUUACUGCCCUUGUGAGGGAGUCAGCUGCAGAAGGACAAUUACUCUUUUCCACAUAUAUAUUCUGGGAAUGGGAGCAUACCAUUUGGAAAAGAAAAUGUUAACUUAUCUCAAUGUCUCUAAACUUCAGAUUAGUGCUCAGAAGCACAUGUGUAGAGCAGAGCUGCUCCCUUUGCCACCUUGGCUGGGGAAAUUAUGGUUAUGAUGCAUGCCCAAAUAUUUCUUUCCUGCACUGAGGUCUAAGAGUGAAAUAACUGUGAAAGGUUAUGCCAAUGUUUCCUGAUCUGGUAAUACCCCGCUCCUUUGGGAGGACUAGAGGGCUGUGCCAGCCAUAGAGAAGGGAAGUAAUAGUGAUGACUUGGUGUAUUGUCUUAAAUUAAAUUAAUGUGUGUUCAGAGACUGAUGUAUUGCACUGAGUCAGAUCAGUGACUCCUAGGCACAGUUAGUUUCGUUUGGAGAGGGGCAGGGGGCUACUAGGAAUAACCCUGGCUUAAGCAGAGAGGAAUGUAAGGAACAUUCUACCUCAUGCACUUUUUUCUUUUGGUGAGUUUGCUUUUUGAGUAGUACUCUUGUUCUUUUGAUCAUGUCCUUGAGCACCUUCCCCUUGUGCACGCCUUUCUGCCCCAUUGCCUUCCAAAUAGUUCCUGUGACAGCAGAUACCCAGACUGAAAAUGUUUGCCAUAAUUCAUAAGUCAAAGUACUUUCAAUCCCAGAAUAGAGGAGACUGCAUGCAGACUUCAUUACACAGUAUUCAUAACAUAAACAAGCCUGCAAUUAUGUCAUAGCAACAAGCACUGUGCUUACAUGAAAGUUGGAUUCAGGUCUCCAAGAGUGGAAGACCUUUGCGUCCAAAAUAUCACAGCGACCUACUUCUCUGAAAGAGUGCCCUACAUAAUUUCAGAAAUUAGAUAUGACACCAAUAUAGUAGGCCAUAUGGUGCUUUUUGCUGGUGUAGGGUGAACAGUGGGAUAUUCUUGGGGCCCCACAAACGUCUGUCCACUCACUAGGUGAAGUCAGCUCAUUAUUAGUUGGGGUGAGGUGUGACGUUUGUUUUCCUGAUGUUGUGAGGCAACAAAUUCAAACUGCCAAUUGUUUUAAAAAGGCAUUUUCUAAUAAUAUGGGUAUGAUCCUAAAAAGUUUUAACCUUUUUUUUUUUGGACCAGUACUGUCUGCCUUUAGUUGCUGCUGAGAACCUGAGAGUCUGCACCUAAAAUUAUUUAGACAGCUCAGAACCUACUUCUCAAUAAUUUGUAGGGAGACCGUUUCCCAAGGGCAGUUAGACAUAUUAUCUGAUCUGAUCCUGAGCUGCCAGAGCAGGAUUAUUUAUUUUUUUUGGUGGUGCUUCCCCAGACUGGCUGUAGAAGUUGUUAGGUGUGUGUGAUGUGUGCUGCUGGUGUCCCACCUACCAACGGGGAUGCAGCAGGUGGGGGUGAUGGUAGGGCCAUUCCUGAGGGCAUGGAAAAGGACGGUGAGAGGAGCUGGCAGAGGACAAGCUGCAAACUCUGCUCCUUGUUGGCAGUGGAGCUACCUCUAAAUUUCAGUUGUCAACACAUUGAGAUGGCAGAGGAGGUUUCAGGACAAAACGGUACCUUAUUUAGAAAUUGGGAGGUUUUGUGAUCUGGACUUUUCAAGCAUCUGGUCCAUGCUGGAUGGUUUUGUCUAUGACAGUAACUUACUGAAUUGCUGUGAAGUAAUAUCUCUUCCUGGCAUGGCAUUCACUUGUUAUUUACUUAUUUACAUACAAGCAUCAUCAUAGAAAUUGUAUUUGCAACUGAAAAAUAAAAAAGAAUACCAAGCAAUCUUGUUUCAGCCCUUUCUCCAUAGUUUCUGUAUGUUUUUUCCUCUUCCUUUGAUGGGUUUUUUUUCUUUUCUCUUUAUUAUUAAAAAUAAUAUCUUUGGAGUCUGUGCAAAGUGAGCUUUUCUGCAGUGCUCAUUCUGACAGCAGAGUUGUUUUUCUGAGGACUGCCCACACUUCAGGUGUCUGCUGCAUAGGUUUUCUGUGUAAUAACUCUGGUGCCAAUCUGUCGACCUCGGCUAACCCACCUAAUAAAGUUCCUGCUGAAAAGAAGCAGCGCUGCUGUGGGUACACUGAGGCAGCUCAGGCGAUGCCACUUGGCCUGUGCACAGGGCAAGGCUUUAAAAGCAAAGCACAAUGCAUGGGCCACGAAGUGUGCUGUGGGGGUGUCUAGAGUUCCUCCCAAAGGGGGCUGAGCAGGCAUGGCAGGCUCCUUCACACUUCCCUCCUGCCAGCAUGUGCGAGCACUGCAGGUGGUUAUCGCUGCAGACACGCUGGCAUCCCUUACAGCUUGGUGUGUGUGUUUAUUAGGUGGCAUCCAUGGGGAUAAUCUCAUUUUGGCUUUUAACCGUAAGGUAAAUGUUCGGUGACCUUGGGGCAGUCUGUGCUCACACAGCACUGUGCGCUGUCAGCUACUUGAUACUGGCGGUGAUGGAGCUCCUGGCAGAGGCCCUGAGGUGGGAGCCCUCAUUGUCUGGGGGCUGCCGUGUUUGCUGACAGACAGGAGUAUCUUUGCCUGCUGCCAGCACAGGAGGCACCUGCUGAUUGGAAACUUCUUUUAUCACAAUGUUUAAUUUGCUGUCUCACAGCUUUUGGAAGGAGAAGUCUUUCAUCUCUCGAGUUUGGAAAGGAGUGAUAUGAUUAUAUUAAGCAGAUGAUGCCUAUCUGCAGCUGAAAGGGGUUUGGUUUGGUUUGGUUUGGUUUGGUGGGUUUUUUUAAGAUGGCAGUUACAGUAAAGUGCAGUGCAAGCGGCUGAACUGCAGACAUGAGAUGAGUCAGAUCUGGAUAAUUGCACUCCUUAGAGCGUGCCUGGGCUGUCCUGAAGGUUCCCUCUCUAGAGAUGUCUGGUUUUGCUCCUUGCUCCUCUCUGGACCAGCAAGAGAGGCUGAAUAACUCUGGUGCAGCUGUAAUGAGUAGCACUGUAGGGUGGACUGGUUUGGGUUGGUUUUUUGGUUUUGAGGGAAAGCUGCUGUUUGCCCUGAUGGAGCUUCCUUAGGCUUGAAACCAGCAUAAACGCUAUAGGACAAAUAGCACCUAAGAUGUUCCUGCUGCAGUGUUCAACCAGAAUCUGUGAUGGUGGUGAUUGCCAGCAGAUGUCUACUAUGCAUAAAACUUUAGCCCCUGCACUGAUCUGACGUAGAUUUUUAUUAUAUUUUAUAGGAAGGUGGCAUGCUUAUGCCAUUUUGCAAAUACUGUGGUCCUUUUAGACUUGUAUCUAUUUGUUGUGUCAUAAAAUACAUGCCCUAAAACUAGUGCCAGAACACUGAACUCUCUUUGAAGAAUGUUUUAGGGGUGGACAUAUAAUUUGAGCUGAUAACCAUGGAUGGUUGUGAUGAUUAAAAUACCCCUGAAGGUUAGAAUCUGUCUCAUUGAUUAUACUGGGUAGUGUUCCUGGGUGGCAAUGCCAGUUCAAAUGGCAUUUGGACACAAAUGUUUCUUCCCUUAGUGUUGUAUAAGCAGUGCUGUUUUAAAAAGAGGUGGUUAUGUGAAUUGUUGGGUUUUGUUUUUCUUUGAUACAAGUGAGUUUGUUUUCUCUGUGCUUUGUAUUGUGUCUGGAAUUCAAACUAGAGUAGGAAAAUAAUAAAAGGUCAAUGACUUUCAAGCAAAGAAGAAAGGACUGCUGAAUUUUGAGUGUGGUGGGUUUACUUGGGGUUUUGAUAUUCUUUUAAACUGAAACACCAACUUCUCUUACCUAUUUCCCUUCUCUGAUUCAGGAGGGGAGUACUUCACCCUCCAGCAAAUAUAUAUAUGUACCCAAAGUCCCCUGGGUCCUAAGGGGUUGUUACCUAUUCCAUUUUCUCUUUGCUGUUGCUGGAGGAAAUGAAGUGAUUUGGCUGGCCAACCACUCCUUGUUUUUAGUAUUUCCACAGCUGCUGGCCAGCUACUUCAGGUUUUUAAGGUUAAUUUGACUUCACUCUUCAAGACAACUGGCAGGAAUGUGGGAAGGGUGUGGGAUGUGGCAAGCAAGUCUGCCAGCUUUCUUAAAGCUGCAAUAACAAAACCCAGUAUAAUCUUGAAGGUCAUAUUGCAGCUUUUCCUCUGCUGUCGUCCAGGAAGGUUUUGGGGGCCUAAGGGAGUGAAAUGUCUCACAGAGAUUUUUUCUAAUUAAUGAGAACACUGUUGUGAGGAAAUCAAUUUUAUUUUAAGGUUGUUCUGCGUUUAUGAGUUUCGUUAAUAUGGUGUCAUCAUAUGAAUAAUGUAUAGACGUAGCACAUUGUUUAUGACCACCUGUGCACGUGGGUCUGUAAAUAAUAAAAGGAGAGAAUAAAUGGAGAGAAUCUCUCAGACAUGCAGUAGGAGAAUGCAGUUCAUUAAGAAGUCACUGGGGACAAGUAGCUUUGUGCUUCAAAGUAGCCAAGAUAGUUGCAUAGACACAGUGAGGUUUAGUAUUAAUUAAAUGGAAAGUAAGAGUUAUAGAUGGUAGAAAAGAAUGGGUUUGGUGCCCUUUGCUCAUGGAGAAGCCAUUUUAUCAGACCCACAGAGUUUAGAGCCUGAAGGACUACAUUAGAUUGACUAGUUUGAGGAUGUAAGAGGCUGUGGAAUUCCAUGUAUGUGGUGUUCAUAAUAUAGACACCAGAGGUGUUACUUGGAAUAAAUUGUCACAUGCCACAUUCAGAAAAGAAGUCAGAACAGAGAUCACAUCAAAACUUUCAUAUGCCCAUCUGGAUAAGCUGAGAUACAGGCUUGAACCGAGUGAUUCAAAGACUUGGCUAAAAAGGAAGCAAAUGCGUCAUUAGACUGCUACAGGAAAAUUCCUGUAGCGUUCCAGAUCUGGGAGGUGCUGCCAACACAACCAGGUACAGCCAUAACACCCGCGAGAUAAAGCACCGGAGAAGUAAAAUGAUCUGUGUUACUGUGGAAUAUCGUUCCAUCCUAUCCAGUAACUUGCUGUGGCAUAGCACUUUGGUCUAAUGUGCAGAAGAAAAUAAAACUGGGAUGGACUCCUGCCUGGUGGCCAAAGGUCUGAACUGUGUCACUGUUGCCUUAUGCAGAGCAGUGGGUAUUAGUAGCAGCUGCCUGUGGUACUGUUAAUUAUCUGCCUUUGGUUUCAUACAGUAAGAGGUUCAAUUGGGGGGGAUUCACGGGUUCAAGGGGCAGAACUGAUCACUGUAAUUAUUCAGCUUGACCUUCCCUGUUAGACAUUUAGUUGUUCAUAUAAGUUAGUGGAAAGCCUAUUUUUUAGAGAGAAAUACAAUAUUCAAGACUCCACAUGAUGGUCAGUACCAUGUGGCAACCUUUCCAGGUUUUAAUUACCCACCCUACUAGAGAAUUCAUUUGUAAGUCAUGAUAAUUUAUUCUAGAUAAUAAAGCCAUUGGGGGUAUCUGUCCUUUUAGUAAGUGUUUUUACAGUGUGUGGUACAAAAGAAUCUCUGAUGGGAGCCUUGUUGUCCCCAGAAUGCACAAAUAACUUGUUAAAUGGGGAAAAGCAAACUGUGUUUCUCUUCAUUUGGAUAGUCUUAAAGAAUAUAAGAUUGGGGAGUUAGGUUCCUUGGUGCAGUGAUUUCUUUUUCUUCCCUUGUAUUUCCUCUCCUUAUCUUAUAGGCUAUAUGGUGAUAUUUUCAGUGAGGGAUUGAGCAUUGUUUUUCACUUCUGCUGUUUUCUGGGGCUGGCACUAAAAGUGUUCCCCUUUUUCAGUUUGUCAACUGCAUUGACAAAUUACCCUUUGGCAAAGAAUACAGCAUGGUAAUUUUGGAGUAUAACUUUUCUAUCAGUCUGGCUUCCUUUAUUUCUGCCAAGGGUAUUGCUGGGAAACUCAGAGAUAUGGCUAUGUAUUUUUGUAAAAAUGCUAAUAAGAAUGUUGAUCCUUGCAAAAAAAAAAAAAAAAAAAAAUUUCCUGGUCAGGCAAAGGAAUAGUUAAAGUCUGGAGGAAGUAUGCAGCACGACUGCAAUGACUGCAUGUUUGUCUGAUUUGGGGCUGCUGAAAUAUUAUCUCAUAUAGAUUGGGACUAAGAAGGUGUUAGGCUUUUUGAAUCAGCUGCCAGUGGCUCUAACAGGCUCUUGGAAAGCCAAGGAUUAGUCAGAUGGAGGAAUGUCUUGGCCAAAACUCUUUUUUCUCUGGCUAAACCCACUCCCUUGGCAGCGAUGCAUUGUAUUCUUAUAAAAGCUGCUGUGGAAGCUUGAGGCCAGUGCAAGAUUUUGUUAUGAAUAUUGGAUCCUCCUGGGACUAGUUAAAGUAGAUGGAGAGCUCCUUUUUUCUCUGGAAUAUAACGGUGAAUAUGGGCCAUUUCUAGGACAUUCUGUUUCUUUUAUGAACCUGCUUCUCCAGAUUCCCCUUUUUGUUUAUCCAAUCAGUACAAAUGACUUCUUGACAAGGUUCCCAAUUCUUGACAAGGUAAGUGGUUUUGUCUGUCAUGCAUAUAGCAAAGGACUGAUGGCUCCAAACAAUAGACAUGUUGUUCCCAUCUCAAGAUGUCAAGUGCAAGCGUCUUUCAGCUGUGAUUACUGGCAUGCUGUCUUUGGUUCCAUCUGAGAUCUCUUAAUCUUUCCUACAGUUGGGAGGACAGCUUGCAACAAAACAUUACCUAGCAACUAAAAUGCCUCAGGUCGGUUUGGGGAAAGCAACAGAAGAGUUGUUAUUAAUCAUGCUGAGAUGAUGCAUUGUGGUUUAAAAAAAAUGGAAAGGAAAGGCCAAAUUAAAUAUUGACAUUUAGUAUAUUCCAACUGUGUUAGCUUUCACUUUGGCUAACAUGAGAAUGUAUACUCGGUGAAAAUGGGAAAUAAAAACACCUGUCUGUGUUCUCCUGGAUAUAACAAAGUGAAAUAAACCCCCCAAACAACAGUGAUCUGUUGUUUGGGGAUGUUGCAGGUGUAGCCUUCAGAAUCUGAGAGACUGAAGAGACUUCCGUUCUAGUCCUAAGGGCUACAGCAGUUUGAUUGUCAAGAAUAAAGGGAAGAUUGUUGUCAGUGGAAACCAUUUUAUUUUAAAUUAAAACUUUGAUGAACUCGCCAUGUUGAAAAAUGGUUUUAACAAACAUAUCGUAGUAGUGAAAGACCUGAGACUUAGCAGCAGCCUACAAUGUGCUCUAUUUAAAGAGUAAAUUUUGGUGCAUUUCCACCUGAUGAAAGCCUGACUGCACUUUAGCCAUCUCAGCUCAGCGGCAAUAGCUUCACAAGUCUAUGUUAGACCUCAGCACAACAGAUCUCUGUGGUCCUCCUGUCAUACGCUGAGUGCCACUAAAGAUUCUAGAGAAGGGCUGGUAUCAUGAGCUGUUAUGGAAAAUAGGAGUGUAAAAUGUGAUAGUCUAUAACCGUGUAGGAAAUAAAUGUGGUCAGCAAUAAGGUAUUUUGAUGUUAAACCACACUGUUCUGGAACAGUUGGGGAACUUUCCACUUGGCGCUUUCUCUCAGAGGUGGCAAUUUGGAGCCGAUCCGUGCGCUGCGGCGUGGGUAGUGUGAGCAAACAGUGUCACGAGUGGGCACGAGUGGGUGGUUGAAAGCAUCAUUCACAUUUUUUCUCCAUAUGAUCUUCUCUGAGCUGAAAUGGUGCCAAAUCAGUCGGUAUGGUUCUACUGAAGCCAUUAUUUUCCUGGUGGUAACUCGUCACUGUGCCCAUCCUUUCCUGCAUGUGCUACCUGCAGGCAGUGGGCAAGGGGAGCACACAGAUCUGUGGAAGGACAAGAGGAAUCGCAGAAAGGGCUAAAAUAAUCUAGUAUUCAUUUCUAUCACACCUUUAAAGUUAAUUCAUUAGUUGAAAGAUAAUUAAUUUGAGGUAUAGCUGUCAAUGGCCUUUUGAAAAUUAGAGCUCUAUGCUAACAAAAAAUUACUAUUUGUUUUUUUACUGGUUUAAGAAAACAAAUGUCUUGUCUCCAUCAGCCUAAUGAACAACUUUAGGUUUGCUACUUCCCAUGAAUUAAUUUGUUCACCUUCUGUUUACCGCCAGGUUUUACUGCCUGUGUGUGCAAACCUGAAGCCUUUAAGCAGAACAAAAAGAAAAAUUAUUCCCCGUAGAUUAAAGAUUGCUUGGAGAUGAUACAGGCUUGUGUAAAGUUUUGGAGUGAUGCAUACAAUGUUCUUGUCAGGGUUCUUUUAAGCUGUUGCUGUAUCCUUGUAAGUGGUUGAAAAAUGUCUUUCCUCUGGUAAUAGCCAUAGUUUGUAGGUAAUGGCUUGUCAGAAACACUGAUGGUUCAUAAAGAUUAGCUAUGUGAAAAUGUUUGCAAUGCUUUUUCUUGCUUGUCUGCUACCCUGAGGGUACAACAGAGGAACACAAAAGAGGGGCUGGGGAGGAAGCAAUCAAGGUAUUUUUUUAAGAAGUGAUAAAUUGUAAUUCGGAAAGUCCUGGAAAUCCACAUGAUAGAGACAUGUGAAGAAGCCUUCUCAAAUUUGAAUCUUGCUCUAGUUCAGGGCUGUCUCAGAGAAAUCCCCUCACAAGUUUUUCAUCAAAGAUAUGUGGUGAUAGAUCAGGUGUAGUAGGAUUUUUAAGAAGGGUAGAAAACUAGUUGCAUUGCUUUCACAAAACCUCAACAUUAAACAAAAUGUGUGGUUUUAUGUGAAGGAAGUAAUUAGGAAAUAUCUUGUGUUUGGUAUUGCCGCAAAGUUAGUUAACAAAUUAAGAAACAAUUUGAAUUUUGGACUUUUUGUGCUAUUAUCACUGGGAAUUGAAUGGUGUAUUGAUGCUCUGAAAGGCAACAGGCCAAUCUCAAUACAAGUUUUUUCAUGGAUCUCUGGACUUCUAUGUAGUCUGAACUGGUGCAAAAUUGAUCUUGAAGAUGGACUGAGAAGCUAAACUGCACAGGAGUGUGAACCACAGAAAAGAUGAGGCAUAAGCGUGCUGUGAAAAAGAGUUUACAGCUAAUUCAAUCUUGUAAAAAAUUUCUGCCACACUUGGUAAAUAAUUUUUUUAGGGAAGUAUUCCAGUAUUUCAAUUUUUAAGUUGUCAAAACAUUUCAUUUCAGAAUUUUUAAAGUUUUAAAUUUCACAUAUUUUUUUACAAGACAACAUAUGUUGGAAAAGAUUUAAAUACUGAAUAACAAAAGAGCUUUUCUUUGUUUGUUAUUUACUUAAUUCACUAUCUUCAGCUGCCUGAUUUCUGUUUGAGUUGAAGGGAGCUGACUAUUUGUUUUUUGUAGUCUCAUGGGUAUGAUGCACAGUUAGAACAUGGCAAAUAAAAAGCUUCUCAGGAAAGAUCCAUCCACCUGAUCUUCAGUAAUUUUGAUUUAGGAAAGCCAUGUUAGAGGCUCUUUUAUUUCCUCUUCUUCUAUCUUCUUCCCGCUUUGCUACUGUAACAGGUUGGGGGAGGAAGGAAGUUUGGCAGCCAGCAGGAAUAAGAGUACUUGUCACCACUUUUAGGGGGUUUGAGAGAAUUUCUUAGGCAGAUUGGAGGGGAGAGUGUAAAGUUCACAUCAGCCUAGAGGUAUGUGUGAGAUUUGUUGAGUGACUUUGCUGGUCGAUGCCCUUAGUGUACACCCUGUAGUCAAAAUUCUCUUGUUUCUAGUUUGGUGUUUUGGUUUGUUUUUUUUUUUUUUGUGUUUGUUUUUUUGGUUUUUUUUGGUUUUUUUUUACUAAAUUCUCAUGUUCCUGUUGUAUCUGUCAUACCUCCUUUUCCAGUUAUCAAAACCUUUGCUCAAAGUUGCCUGAUACCUAUCUUCCAGCUGUGGAGCUCUGCUGUGAGUUCCUAUGCAGUGCCAAAGAAGAGAACCUUUUAUUUUUCCUACAUCCUAAAGGUACCCUGCUGUCUGCCACCUCAUCUGACUGUCACAGCUGCCCCAGUGAUCACAGAGACCUGGCCGUGGCUUUCCUGCUCUGGCUGCUUGCACCCACAAAGUGUCAUGGAGAAUGGGGCAUGCCCACCAGUCUGUCCCUGCUCCCUUUCUUUGGCUUGGCAGGACACCCUGGAGCAGGGUUUUGUCUCAAACUUGGCCUGUUCAGUGCAGUGUUAACUCUCUGCAGAGCUGAGUUCUGCCUGGGACACUCCUUUUUCCAACUCUUUCUCCUGUUUUUUACAUAGCUAUCAUUUUAUUAAAUAAGUUCAGAAACACUCAUAGGAACAUGGUCUUCUUGUUGGCAUAACUAUGAAAAUUUAUUGAGCCUGGGCAUCCUUGGAAAGGCCAAGUGUUGCAACAGGAAUCUUGUCAGAGUUGUGUCUUCUUUUUAUCCUGUCAUGGGAGUUUGUCUCAAGCGUAGGAACUGAAAGUGGGUAAGUCUCUGCUAAGAACCUCUCAAGGGAGCUUUCAGACAGAAGGAGAGAAUGAGGGACUUAAGGGCAUAAAACUGAGGUAUCAUCAACCUGUCAGGGUACUGGCACUCAAAAGCAGCUUUCCUUGAUUACUGUCUAUCAGUGACAUCAUGUCUUAAAACUGGAAUUGCUGAAAAUAAUUCCACCCUUUAAAAUGAAAUUGUCCCUUAUAAACAUGCUACCUUGAGGGACCUAGAGAUGAGAACCUGUUUUGUUGGGUUUUUGGCAGCAAAUAGAAGCAGGCGAGGACGUGUGUUAGCACUUUGGUGUACAGUGCAAUCUGGUAAUGUCCAAAACUUGGAUACCAUUACUGUUUUGCAGCCAGCACAUCCAGCCUUUCUCUAAACAGACACAUUCUUCUGCUACAAAAUAUUGAAAAUUUAUUUAAAUGUGUCACCUGUCAAAUCUGUGCUGGUCUUUUUUUGCCAGAGCAUGGCCUCGGUUGAAUAUGAGAUAUGAAAACAUAUUCCUAUCAGGAAAAGCAGUGUGCAGGGCACAUGUAUUACCUUUGUCUUGUCAGCUCAACUAGCUAAGGCUUGGUGGGCAGAGUGUUGGUUCCAGUACCACCAAGCCUGCAGAUUUUAUUUUAUGCUUCAUAGUGAGGGGAGAUGUUUUCCCUUUCAAGCUAGAUUUCUGUGCCUGCCCAUCCCUAAUAUUGAAAAUGGGCUUCUUUCUUCAUGCUCUGGCUUGUAGUCAGCUUGAGAAUAGUCACCACAUUCUUGCCAAACAGAGUCACAUUUCUUUCUAGUUCUGAAAAAGGGCCCUGGUUCAUUCUCUGUCUCGGGUUUGUCAAACAUCUCUGGUAUCCAGUGCACGUGAGAGGAAAGAACACAUGCCUUGCCUUGGUCAGACAGUUUUUAUAAGUUUCCUCCAUUUCAGUUCUUGCUGUUUGCCAAAAAGAGUUGUCUGGAGGAAACGGUGACACUUUCUGCCUCUCCUCUUCAUGUAGUUUUUAGCCUUCCUUGACAUAAAAUGUUCCUGUUGUGUUUUUGAAUUGCUGGUAGUGAUGAACCAGAAACAAAUUUGUAAUAGAAAUGUGAUGCCUGAGCAGUUUCUUCAGCAGAAGCUACAAAGAACUUGUUUGAAAUACAUGUAUAUAGUAAAAGUGAGUAAGUCUGUAUUGUAUCUGCCCUAGAUUGGCUGAACCCCACAGAAGCAAGUAUAUUACUUUCAUCUGGUAGGGCAUGUAUUUUAAAUUAAAUCUGGUGCAAGGAGUGGUUAUGGUGGAAACAAAUGGAACAACAUGGUUUGAAAAGAGGACAUGUUCUGAAGCACAAUGGAGUGGAGGGAAGAACUGGAGUGCUGUUUUCAGUGUGUGGAUGCUGAUCACAAGUGGUAACAGAUUUUAAUCUGAAAUACUUGUCUAUAUACAGGUAUCAAAGGUAAAAGAAUGAGACCCUUAUCCUCGCCCUCUUUGAUGUUAUAUGAUUUAAAAUAUGUGCUGACAUUCAAGACAUGAAAGGUAGGACAAGGAAAAAAUGUAGUUUUAAUGCAAAAAGUUUGCUAGCAGUUUUCAAAUAUUUUGGUCAGUUUUAAUACUGAGAAGAUUGUUUUAAACACAGUAAACUUCUGAACAGAAGAAAAUAACCACGUUUGAUUUUACACAAAAUUCAUAUAAUUGUCCACAGCAAGUAAUAGAAGUAUAAAUUAGUGUUUUGAAAGGUGGAAUGCAAACAUCUGCAUGGUGGGUCUGAACUGGGGACUUGCAGGUGGGUUCUGACCAGGGAACUGGUCACAAUGUGAGUGUGUCCCACAGAUGGGGCUGAGAGACCUCCUCAGAGGAGAGGGGGUGUUCCACCUGAACUCCAAGCUGUCUCAGUCUCUGCAGACUGGAACAAGUUUGCAUGAAACUGUCUUGGAGUGUGAUAGCUUCAAAAGUGUGAUUGUACCCAUUAUGCUGAGAAACCAUAUUUAAAAUUGAUAUGGAGAUUAUUUAGGUGGUUGGAAUCUGCUCCUCUGGAGAGACCUCAUGAAAAUGGAGGAAAAUACCUGUUUGUCUUUAUAUUUGAGACUUUUACAACUGAAUAAAGGCAACAUUAAGACUUUGAAAACUUUUAUAGUUGCCAAAACCAAAUUUUUGCCCUUGUCUCUGUUUCAAAGCAAAUAUGACCUUACAACAAGCACUGUUGUAUCCUCAGGAUAUUGUUUUCACGUAGACUGUAGAGCUCAAAAGCAAAUGAUCUAGAAAUGGAAAAUGUGGUAUAUUUGGCAGACUUUGGGGGAAUUUAUUUUUUUUAAGGUGCAGAUAGUUGGUUUUGGUCUAACUGAUAGUGAAAUGAGAGCAUGAUUAAGGUCAAGAAUGAGUCACUUUGAGCAAUUCUUAGUUUGCAACCCUCUGCUCAGAUCAGAAGUUGAUGUUCUCUUUUAUCAUUAAACCUUUCCCUCACAACUCUUUGCUCAUUUUGGAGCCACUAUGUCAUGGAGAAUUCAUUCAUGUUGUUAUUCCUGCGGGAUUGUUCCACUUCUCUCUUGCUACUGUUUGCAGGCUUUCGUGCUCCCGACUUACUUUAAACAUCUCUUAAGUUUUAGAGCUCUGGCUGUGUUUGUGAAGCUCUGGGACAGACAGACUGACCCUCACUUCUUGUUUAUGUUUUCACUUUAACCUUUCAAGAUCUUUGCUUGGGAAGAGAGCAAAGAGGGUGAAAAGAUCUCUCUGCCUGUUUGCUGGGCAGUGUUUUGUGAGAAGUUUUGUUUGAUGGAGGUUUUGUUCAUGUUUGACAGUCUGAGAGAAGAGCUGGCUGUGUCAAUAUGCAGGUAGAGCAGAAGCACUUGUGGAUGACCACAGUGUUGCAAUACUGAAUGGAAGGUGGGUUCUGUGGUACAAUAAGGAGUGAAAAACAUGUGCUGUGAGUGGAAAAGGGGAUCUAAUACUACAUAAAUGGAGUAGAGGAGAUAACUGCACAGACAAAUGCCUGGUCCUUCAUAAAGAAGAUGAAAGGACAAAGUGUUCAGCAGUGAGUGUGGGGAGGAGUGUGAGGGGGGUGAAGAGUGCUGCAGUGUGAAGUCUGCCUCACCUGGAGCCCUGUGCCCCCUCUACCCUCAGCAUUAGCAGGUAAACUCAUGCAUAUUCAUAUCAAUAGAAAUAAUAACAAUAAUGAAAAUUGGUAGCAAAAUCAAAUUAAUGUGGUCUCCUGCAGCAGAAAUAUUUACCCGAUGUGUCCUGCCAGUUACAGAGAUUGGCAUUAAACCUAGACAUUACCUCAUCUUCCUGGGCAGACAGCCUAUUUCUAUGCUAAGCAAGUCUGCAGGAGUGAACAACUGAAUACCUGCCUGAUUAGCUGUGCAGCAGCAGAUCCUGGUUAGAAGUGAUUUCCCUCAGUGCUUUCUCUCCCUUUUGCUCGCACGCUUACUCUCUGCAAGGUUUGUCAUCGUGCCUUAUCAAGCGAUGUUCUUCAUCUUGAAGGGCACGUUGCAGGGGAGAUUGGCCAGACAGGUGGGCUAGUAUAAAUGCUGAACCAAAUCAGAAAGGUCAAGAAAAACACAAGGAAAAAAGUGUGUGUAUGUAUGUGUAUCUGCCUCCCUGUCUCUGCAUGAGUCGGUGCCAGCUAGGUGAAACUGGAUUAAUGAGGAAGGGAGAGAUAAGUGCUAAGAGGAUUGUGCUAUAAAAGGAGAUUUUGGGGUUUUGAGAACAGAUGAGGGUUUCUUUAUGAAAACUUUAAUUGGCUACCUUAGAUAAUUUCUUUAGCUUUGUUCCUGGGUGGUAAAUCAUAAGUUUCCUGCUGGGUGUAAAAUCAUAGCAUAAUUAUGAUAGUUGGCCUGUGCAGAGUGUCUUCUAUCACAGACUCCCAGCAUGCUGUAUAUUCCUUAAAAAAUUAAGCCUCAUAAUGUAUUUCAGACAAGUAGUCUGACAAGUAGUAAUAAAAAUAGUAAUAGGAAAAAAAACAAAGUGGAGGAAAAAAAACCUCUAGCAAAAACAACAGUUGCUUUUGUUGCAACACCUUUAAAAGCGCAUCAUACUUUUGCAUCCACCUGCUUGGCUACUGCUACUCUUUUUUCCAUAGAAAGGUUCAAGGACUCCAGGAUACAGUAUCACUGUUACUGACUUGUCAAAGUCCUGACAGUAAUGCUUUUGUGAAUUCAAGAGCUGCAGAUGUCCAUAGGUCACUCUCCCUUGGUGUUGGCAUGCCAGUAUUUUCCCAUGUAUACAUGUAUUUCCAUUUUAAACCUGCUGGACACCCCACUACCUUUGUGCUUUUUCUUGACUUGCUCCAUUGCUUGUAUUAUCAAGAAAAUAUGCAGCAAAGUCACAGUGAAAUGAAGCCUCUUGUUCUUCUGGUUUGACGUUCAUAAAUCUGAAGUCAUUCCACACAAGCGUAGUAUUUAUACGGUAGAUUUCCUGUUUGUUUUGAUGUAGUUUUAAAUGUCAGUCUGCUCAGCUGUUGAAAAUUAUGAGGAACUUAUCUAAUGGAGAAACAGUUUGGGCUGAUUGGCCUCUUUCACUUUCUUCUGUCCUGCCAAGACAGAUGUGGCUUCUACUGGAGCUGCUCUACUGGAUGGCCAAUUCUGGAAGUAGCUUUUCUCCUCACAUUUACUGGUCCUAAUUCUGAGAAAGUAUGCCAAAACAUGCAUCACUCUCCUGGAAAUGGCGUGGAGACUGGAGAUGUACAGUCCAGGACUGUAUGACCCAUAUAAUGGCUAAGUUAUUUUUCAGGAGGGACAUUUUCUGUUGGUAAACAGCAGCAAGUUGCUGUGUCCUGAGUGUUUAAAGGAGGAGAAAAACCUUUUAAA
Molecule: non-coding RNA, 49633 nt
Organism: Taeniopygia guttata (zebra finch)
Lineage: Eukaryota; Metazoa; Chordata; Aves; Passeriformes; Estrildidae
Source: RefSeq, a predicted model, not a curated record